RNAcentral lists this long non-coding RNA (81575 nucleotides) under Nicotiana tabacum (common tobacco). RNAcentral describes it as "long non-coding RNA (NTAB_LNC016133)". Lineage: Eukaryota; Viridiplantae; Streptophyta; Magnoliopsida; Solanales; Solanaceae. The record is from RNAcentral.
CGAUUUAUUGAUAACAAUUCUAUUUUUCAAACAUUAGGAUAUUCUAUAAAUUUAUUGUCUUUUCAAAAAAAUAAAAAAUUACUACAACACAAUUGUAGUAGUGAUAUUUUGAGUAAAUACUACAAAAUUUUUUAAUUAAAUAAUUAUAUUUUAUUUUGUAGCACAUUCUAUUUAAAUAUAUCGAAGCCGGUAGAAUUAAUUUCAAAAUAUGGAUCAAAUCCGAUUAAAUUCAAUGUCCCAUUAACAUAUGAUGUGACAAGACGUUCACGCGACAUAACAUUGACCUCCCUAGAGCAGGUCGGAAUCCGGCGAUCCCCAACGAACAACGACCCCACGCCUCUUCUGUUUUCUCCGUCCCACUCUUUAUACGAUUAUUGUCGCCACCGCCGGAGGUAAUCGACCGGUCAGCGGCGACGCCACUAUUGCCCCACCUCAUCUCUCGUUCUCUCAUGGUUUCUUGCAAAUCAUCAACCCAAUGCACGUGUUUUAUACAUACAUAAGAGGGGAAAGAGGAGGACGGCAGUGAGGGUACUCAGAUCCGCCGCUAUCGUUAGUUCGCCGGUGUAAUGAACCUUGCCGGAAACUGUGGCGAAGAGCUUCAUGUCUCUCAGAUCCGGCGAGCUAUGUUACCCAGCAACUUUAUUGUGAUGUUACUGUUAUUUAUUUGUUAGAUCUGGGAAUUUUUGGUCAAUAAUAUGUUGUUUUUCGACAAAUUUCUUUGAUGCUGUCCUGCCGGAGUCGGGUUCUUUUUGUCGAUGUUCGUCGUUACUGUGGUCUUCUCCUAUUCUUCGUUCGUUUAUUUUACAGGUGCACCAGAAAUUCGCCGGGUUUGGCGGGAGAAUAAAUUCUCCGAGCUUGCUGCGUUUUUCUGUCCAUCGUCGUGUUCUUGGUCCAUAACCCCAUCGUUUUUCUGCACAUUUUGGGGUUGGAUUUGGUUAUUGUCGUUUCGUUUAGCCUGCUGUUUAUUACAGUUGAUAUUUGAGAUCUUGGAGGCAUUUCGUUUGCUUUUCUGUCGAUGCUCCAUUGUGAUGUUCAUGACUGUGAUUGAACUAUAUUUUUAGAUUAUCUGUGUUGGGUAUAACGGAUUCCUUUUCCUUUUCCGAACAGAUGCUGCGCUUAUCGGACUAUGAUAGAUUUGGAUAAAUGUUAUACCACAAGUGUGGGCCGAUGAGAAAAUAACCUCUGAGUUAUUGAGUCCACUGACGCCCCGAAUGAACCUUCCAAUUGGGCCCGAAAUAAUGAAACGACGAUGAAAGUCAAAAAAAAAAAACAUAUGAGAAUGUGAAUGUCUGUGCUUCAGGAGGCAACACGGCCACCGAAAUUGCUACCAAGUCAGCGUUCGCGUUCUAAUGUCUUAUUGAUAUAUGGUAUACACCAUCCGAGCAUCCAAAAAUAUUUUAAACAUCAUUUUCUAAAACAAUUUUCAAAAAAAAAAAACAUUUCGAAUCAUUUUCAAAAGAAAAGCGAUCUUUUAUAAAAAUAUUUUCAAAGGAAAAUCAUUUCAAAAUUAGUAAUAUUUACUUUAUCUUACUUUAUAUUAUCUUACUAACAAUUUUGUUUCUCGUUUGCGAAGUACUAUCAUAUGAAGUCGCUUUGGAAGACUAUACUCGGAGAUGAAGAUGAACCCUAUCAAAUUCCCACUUCGUACUUCCCGUUAUUGGAUAUACCAAAAACGUAAAGUAGUAGAUAUGUGUUUGCUUGCUUGCUUUAAUAUUAUAUAUUUGCUAACCACAUAGAAAAUUGCAUCUAGUUAAUAAUCAGUAAUCUGUAAUAUUGUAUGUUACGCUAGCACGUAUGCUAGGUUGUUGAAUACAUUCAUAACGUGAUUGAUAUACAUACAACUAGUUAAAUUAUAUAUACAUAAAAAAUGAAAACAUGUCAUCUUUCAAAAAAUAAAAUAAAUAAUUUUGUCUUUGUCUAACAAUUGUGUGAGUAUCUUUUGAAUCACUUUAUAUGUAAAUUAUUCUUUAAUUGACACAACUUAAGUAGAAAAUUAUAGUCGGACUAUCAUACUAUUCUUUGAGAAACUUAGGCCUUGUAGUCAUUCGGGUUUGGCUCACAUAAUUGUGUUCCGAGACCAUGACUCUAAAAAUAGUUUUUAGUUACUUAUCGAAUGAUAAUUCAUUGUUCGCACAAAUAUAUUUUCUUAUAUUGAUACAAUAAUUAUUUUAUGUCAUAAGCAUUUUGAUAGAUCUUUCCUAUACAGUAUUUAUUAACUAUUCAUAAAAUCAAUUAUUUAGGUUUAUUCAUUAUAUAUUAAGAUUGCUCAAACACCUUUCUUUUUCACUUUUAUCAAUCAUUUAGAGUAAAUUUUUAUUUUUAUAUUUUUAGCUUUUCACUUAAACAGGUAAUCUUUGUUCAUAAAGCAAAUUCUUCCAUAUUAUAUUUUUAGUUAAUAUUCAUUUAGUCAAUUUACACAUAUUCUUGUGUAUUUUCAUUUCUUUAGCAACUUGUUAUACGUGUUCAUUCAUUUCAAAACAAAUGUUUCCACACGUUACUCAUUUAAUUAACAGUGCAUGACAUAGUGUUUGUUCAACAUUUAAUUUGUCUUGUUUAUUGUUAUUGUUCUUUAUUAUAUUUUUAUAGUUAGUCAAAUACAUAUAUUAUCCAUUUUUAUCUACUUGACCCAUUCUUUUAAAAUACCAAAUUCCUCCUUUGGGUCUUGUGCACCGAUUUCAAAGAUUGUAAAUUAUUUUAUACGCUUUGUUUAUUGACUUUUACUACAUGUGCAUGUGAAUAUAAACAUUUUAUUAUCUGCUUGCUAUAGCGAUUGUCCUCUAUUUAAUUUGACUUUUCUAUUUUUCUUGUGAAUAUUAAUCAACUCUCUUUUUUCCCUAUUCAUUACAUAGAAGAAGAAAAAAAAAAGAACUCUUCAAAGGUAAUUCAUUUUUCCACUCUUGAUCACUUAUUUUCUAGACACAUUUUCCUAGAAUAGUUGAUCUUGUUUAUAACUAAAUUCUUUCGAAAUUAUUCCUUUCAACUCAAAGUUAUUUGGUUAAUUUAUAAAUAUUUUACUUGAUGAUACACUUCACUUAGUCAUUAAAUAUUUUUAACUCUUUCAGGUACUUUCUUUAUCAACAUCCUUGAGCAUAUUCUGUUGCACACAAAUAUCUCAAGUUUUACCAUAUGACGUUCACAUCCAAUCAUUUGUCAUUUUAAACCAUUUUAAUAAUUCUUUGUAAAAUAUAGAAUUAAUCAAUCUUUUGAACCUUUCCUCAGUUAUUUGAUUGAGUCCGCAGGAAUCACAUUUUGUUGAUCUUGAGGGAUGCCUAACACCUUCCCCUCAAGAUAACUUGAACCCUUACCUAGAAUCUCAAUAAUUUCGCAGACCAUCUUUUAGUGUACAUUAUAUAGUGUAUAGGUGUCAUAGUAUAGCUUAAAUACUAGAUGAUGACUCUAAACUUUAAUUAACCUUGUAAACUAUUAUAAGUUGUAAUUUCUUUUGUCUUGUGCAAACUUGGGUGCAACACCAAGUAUCAGAGAUAUUGGACUCAAAUAGAGUUAGAUUCUUCAUCCCGAGGAUUCAAGGUAAAACUGCUUGAUCAUCGCAGUCCUUUGGUGUCCCUUCCUUUUUUAUUGUACUCUCAUUUUGUUAUCCGAAUAGUAUUGUAUUUCGAUUUUUGAGAUCUUUCUAUGUAUUUAGCUAGAGUUCGUGACUCCGUAUUACGUAGUCUUGGAAUGUUGUUGUGAUUAUUGCCGCAUAGGCUUGUUUCACCUUUAUUUUAUUUUUUAUAAUAAACUAUAUUUUGAAAUAUCAUUGUUAAACUGGUUUAAUUGUUAUAAGUAAUCGACUUACUUAGUCUUAGAGACUAUGUAACAUUACGAUGCCUAAGGAGAGAUUUUGGGUCGUGACAAGUUGGUAUAAGAUCUCUAGGUUCAUAGGUUCUACGAGUCACGAGUAUGUUUAUUAGAGUAUUGCGGAUCGGUACAUAGAUAUCGGUACUUAUCAUCGAGAGGCUACAAAGCUAUUAGGAAAAUUUUACUUCUUUCAUUCAUGUUGUGCGGAUUUGUUGAUUCAAAGUUUGAGCCUUUGUAUCUAUAUUCUCUCACAGAUGGCGAAGACAUGCGCUACCGGAUCAGCGACCAAACACCUGAGCCCCAUGCUAGAGCCGCAAGAGGCAGGAGCCUGUAAUAGGAUGAAGAGGGGCACGUGCCGCAGCUCGAUCGCCUACUAAAGCAACAAUUGAGGAGCCACCAGUAGCUCUGAUUGGGGAACAGGCACCGAAGGCGCCUGUUGUUACCCCCGGACUUCAUGAGACUUUAGCGCAGUUCUAGAGCAUGUUUGGUACAUUGGCUCAGGCAGGAUUGUUCUCCGUUGCACCAGCUACUUCAUAGAUUAGGGGAGGAGCUCAGAAUCCCAUUGCAUGUACUACAGAGUAGCAUGCUCAUGUUGGUCAUACUUCGGAUAUGGUGUCGGUACAAUCUAUUAUUCCGGAUCAGGUUGAGAUCAGGCCAAAAGCAUUAGAGGAGGAGCAGAAGAGGCUUGAGAGGUUCAAGAAGUAUGGUCCACCUACUUUCAGUGGCACAACUAUCGAGGAUGUGCAGUAUUUUAUAGAGAAGUGUCACUGAUUCUCUGCACCAUGGGUAUUAUGGAGGUACCGGAGUUGCUUUUACUACAUUUUAGCUGUCAGAAACAGCGUAUCAAUGGUGGCAGGCUUAUGAGGAGGGUAGGCUAGCUAAUUCAGCACCACUCACUUGGACUCAGUUUUUAGAGAUAUAUUUUAGGGAAUUUGUUCCCCAUACCCUCAGGGAUGUGUGGCACAUGUAUUUCGAGCAGCUGCAAUAGGGCACCAUAACGGUGUCGGAGUAUGCCAUCAGAUUCAGUGUGCUAUCCCGUUAUGCACCUACUUUGGUUCCUAGGGUUAGAGAGCGAGUCCACAGCUUUAUCGAGGGGCUAGGUUAUGGUUUUAGAUUUAGCAUAACUCGGGAAUAAGAGACUAAUACUCCAUUACAGCAGGUUGUGGAGAUUUUCAGGAGGUUAGAGCGUAUUCGGGGUGAGGAGAGGGAGGAUAAGGAGGCCAAGAGGUCUCGAAAUUCUGGAGGAUUUAGUGGAUUCUACUCUUCAGCUAUGACCCAUCAUGGCGGAGGCUCAGGAAGUCGUCCAGUCCAGUCCGCACUUCAGACAACGUAUGGUGCUCCAACUAGUCAAGGGCCUCAGGGUACUCAUAUAGGGCAGUCAUCUUUUAGUGCACCACCUGCACGAGGUUCAUACAUUGGUUAUUCUAUUUAUCAGGUAUAUACUCAGUACCAGCAGCCACGCCUGCAGAGGGGUUGUUAUGAGUGUGGCGAUACUAGGCAUUUCAUGAGAGAUUGCCCCAAACUCGAGAGAGGUGGAUUUCAUCAGAGCACACAGACUAUGGGCUGCAUUCUAGUUGCUACUCCACCUGUAAAGCCGGCUAGGGGUGGACGACAAGCAGGUAGAGGGAACCCUAGAGGGGGAGGCCUGGACCGUUGAUAUGCUUUCCAUGGUAAGGCUGAAGUCGCUGCACCAUAUGGUGUCGUUACAAGUAUGGUUCCAAUAUGUCAUGGAUGAGCAUCCGUCUUAUUUUGUUUCGGCCCUAUUUGUCGAAGUGAGUCCUCCUAUCUUGCUUCAUAUAUGUGUGUGUUUCAUGAUUAUUGUAUUCUGCUAAUGUGUUUGCACCAGUUGAGAGAUUUAAUAGUUGUAGCUCGUGUCUAUCAUUUUGGUUUGUUCACUAUUAAGAGUUAUGAUACUAGGAUGAACUUUCUGUUACUCAUUACGGUAGGUUUUGAUGUGAUUUCUGGAUGGUUUGAUUAGGAUUUGUGAUUUUGGUGCUCUACUAGUAUGGGAAGUCUGUUACAUGUUGUGAUUUUGUUUCGCGGAAUUGAGUUUAUGGAAGGUUUCUAUUGGUGUGAUGUGUACUCUACUUGUGAUUCAGAUCUAAGGAUGGGAUCCUCGUAAUUCUAUAUGGAUUAAUAUGUCUGGAUCGGGAUACGUGCCGCGGUGGAGUCAUAGUAGUAUGAGAUCCUUUUGAUUAGUUCAUAUGUUUUGUUUCUCCAUUAUGGAAUUGAUUCGUAGUAUGAUACCGAUGGGGAGUUGUACCAGUUGGACUUAUUUGAUAGUUCUCUCAUGUGUUUCUCUUUCCAUAUUCAGUCAUAUUCACGUUGUGCUUAUUGGGUUUAGCUUGCGAGGUAUGUGCUCGGGUGGCGUUGGGUGUGACUUGUUCAUUUAGGUGAGUGGUUAUGAGUUCUACAUGUUUCUUGCAUCGUUGUUAGCGUUGUGAAGGUUUAGGGCAUUGUUUUAGUUGAUAUGAGGUUAUUUGUCGGUGCUGGGUUUGAUUAUGGGCAGCUAUUAUGGUCAGAGAUGUUGUUAUGGGCAUUGUAUUAAAUCGGGCGGUCAUACAUUGUUAGUGUAUGCAUGAGUUGUGGUAGUUGGUUGAGGUUGAUACAAUGUGUUUAUAUGGGAAUCGUGUCCUUGAGAAAUGAUCGGAUGGUGAAAAUUUUGGUUCUAAGGUUUAUCGGUGUGGGUUGAAGGAAUAAUCUUUAGUUGAGAUGGUAUUGUCGGCCUUAUGUGGAUUGGGGCGAUGUGAAGAUCACCCAAAAGUAUAUGUAUGUGAGUUCAUUCAGUGAUUUCAUGGCUUUUGAACGGUUCUUGGCACGUUCGAGGAUGAACGUUUGUUUAAGAGGGGGAGAAUGUAACGAUCCGACCAAUCAUUUUGGGAACUAGCAUUCCGUUCGGUGGCUUAUGGUCUCGAAUAGCUUCGUAUUGUGUAUUAUGAAUUUUGUGUGUGAUCGAGUUUGGUUUUCGAAUGAUUCGAGAUUGAUUUGGAAGAAUAAUUCUUGCUUUAGAAGCUUAAGUGGUAAGAGUUGAUCGGAGUUUGACUUUUGUGUAGAUGACUCCGAAAUGGUGUUUGGAUGAUUCCAAUAGCUUCAUAUGGUGAUUUUGGACUUAAGGUAUGUGUCCAGAUUUUGAUUUGGAGGUCCAUAGGAUAACUAGAUGCAGUUUGGCAAAAGUUGAAAAGUUGAAGGUUUGGAAGGUUGAGAGGUUUGACCCGGAGUUGACUUUGUUGAUAUCGAAUUUAGAUUGUGAUUCUAGGAGUUGGUAUAGCUCCAUUGUGUCAUUUGGGACCUGCAUGCAAAAUUUGAGCUCAUUCCAAAUUGGUUUGAUAUGUUUCGGCAUUUUUUUAGAAGUUGGAAGCUCAUUAGUUCAUCAGGCUUGAAUCGAUGUGCAAUUCGUGGUUUCGGUGUUGUUUGAGGUGAUUUGUGUUGGGAAACGUAUCAGGCUAAUAAAAGGAAAAAAUAUUUGAAAGAGAAAAUCAAUAAAUUGCACAAGACAAAAUAAGAGAAGAUUUACGUGGUUCAGCAAUUUUUGCCUACUCCACAACCACACAAAGAAUAACUCUUUAUUAAUUGAAGAGAAAAAUAAGAAGUUGAGGGAUGAUAUGCAAAUGAAAAUGCAUACACCUUUUAUAGACAUUUGAAUGUCUUAAUGACGUAAGCGCUUACAUCAAAAGAAUGCCGAUGUAAGCGCAUACAUCAUAAGAAUGCCGAUGUAAGCGCUUACAUCAUAAGAAUGCCGAUGUAAGUGCUUACAUCAUAUUUUCAUCUCUUUUUGACUUUUCUUUCUUUUGUUUUAUCUACUUUUCUUUCUUUUGUUUUAUCUACUUUUCUUUCUUUCACAUACAACAACAAGUUUGCUCCUAUCAAUUUCCCUCUCAAACCUAUGUUACAACAAGAAAGAAAUUAAAUUUUUUUUUGCUAUUCUCUGGUGGUGCCUUCACGCUAUCAGUCUUGAAUGCUAAUUGAGGCAGUGCAUAGCCUCAGUUUGUUAGCACCGACAACUUUGGUCAACAUGUCUGACGGGUUCUUUGAUCCUGAUAUCUUCUGCAGGGAAAGAGUUUCUUCACUUAUCAACUCUCAGAUAUUAUGAUACAUCAAUUGGAUAUGCUUCGAUCUUGCAUGAAACGCUGGAUUUUUGGCAAGAUGAAUUGCAGUCUUGCUAUCGCUGAAAAGCUCACAAUUGUCCUACUCUUUACCUAGCUCUUUAAGAAAAUUCUUGAGCCAAAUCAUCUCUUUUCCAGCUUCUGAUAUUGCCAUGUACUCUGCUUCAGUGGUAGAUAGAGCAACACUUUUCUUAAGUCUAGACAUUCAGCUAACAACAGUACCACCCAAGGUGAACACGUAGCCUGUGAUACUUUUUCGACUAUCUAUAUCGCCGCCUAAAUUUGCAUUAGCAAAAUCUUGUAAGAUAAUAUUGCUUCCUUUAAAACAAAGUGCCAUAACUGAGGUGCCUUUCAGAUAUCUCAAUAUCCAUUUUACACCUUCCCGCCUUGUUACGUCCAAGCCCAGGUUCGAGGCGUGACAAUCCAGAACCUCAAGAAGAAGCCAACAUAGACCUUUCAUAAGUAUGCUACUCGCUGGAGAUCAUAGGCCUCCAAGGUGAGGCCACCACUAGAAGAAGAGCAAAUGAACAAGUUCUUUGUCAGAGCUCAAGAUCCAUAGUAUUAUGAAAGAUUGAUGGUUAUAGAGAAUCAUAAGUUCUAUGACAUCAUCAAGUUGGGGGAAAGGAUAGAAGAGGGAAUUAAGAGCGGUAUGGUGACCAAUUUCGAGGCACUGCAAGCCACCAAUAAAGCAUUAAAGUCUGGAGGUAUUUUAAAGAAGAAGGAAGUGGGUGUCGUGAUGGUAGCCCAGAGCCCUAAGUCUCCCAUUACCUAUCAGACACCUCAACCAACAUAUCAACCCUCAGCUCCAAAAUACCAAUAUCCUGCCACUACCUACCAUACCUAUAAUACCCAACCUGCAUAUUACAUUUCUCCUCCUUCCGCCCGCCAAAACUACCCAAAGCCACGACCAAACUUUGAUCGCAGAACUCCGAGACAAUACACCCCUUUCACCGAGCCCAUAGCCCAGCUAUAUGAGAGACUAAAGGUCGCUGGUUACGUCACUCCCAUUCCUGCCGCUGAUGUUAAAAAUCCUUCCCAGUGGCUUAACCCCAACAAGACUUGUGCCUACCACUCAGGCAUGAAGGUACAUACUAUCGAGGAAUGCCGCAUGAUGAAAGAUAAGAUACAUACACUGGUUGACACUAAAGUUAUACAAGCAAAGGAAUCCAUGCUGAAUCUACGUAAUAACCCUCUUCCUGAUCACAGGGGAGAAGGAGUGAAUGUGAUAGAAACUAAUGAAGAAUGGGAUCAGGAAGGAUCCAUCGGGAUUAUCCGAGAAGGGAACACUCCCAAAAUAUCUCCUGUCACACUCUCACGGAUUGUGGUGCAAACCAAGGCACCAUUUAAGGUCGAGGUAGCUACGCCCUUUACUGUGAUGGUAGCUCCAACACCGUCUUACAAGUCUAAUAUUGUUCCAUGGGAUUAUGUGGCAGAGGCAAGAAGAUAAGGAAAAGCCAAGAUGGAAGAGACAAGUGUUGCACAAGGAAUGACUAGAACCGGUAGGGUUUAUACACUAGAAAGUAUUGGAGGAAUGAGUAAAGAGACCACACCAAUACCACCUAUUGUGGAGACAGGUGUUGAUGAUUUUUGGAGGAAGGUAUAGGCGAGGGAAUACUCUAUUGUUGAUCACCUAAACAAGACUCCUGCCCAAAUAUCUAUCCUGUCACUAUUGUAAAACUCAAAUGCACACAAGAAUGCCUUGAUGAAAGUGUUAAGUGAAGCACAUGUACCUACUCGUAUCACUAGUGGAAAGAUGGCGAACAUGGUGGGGAAGAUACUAUAGAGUCACAAGAUUACUUUCCACGAAGAUAAGCUGCCGCAGGAUGGAUUAAGUCAUAAUAAAGCAUUGCACAUCACUGUGCAAUAUGAAGACAAGUUCAUUGCUAGGGUUCUGAUAGACGGAGUUUCAAGUCUGAACAUAUGCCUGCUGCCUAAUUUGAAAAGAUUGGGCAUUGGUCUACAUGAGAUACGUAUGGGAAGUAUGAACGUGAAAGCAUUUGACGGGUCUUAGAGAGCCACUAUUUGAGAGAUCAAUCUGGAUCUGAAGAUGGGCCCAACCUGGUUCGACAUUGAAUUCUAGGUGCUGGAUAUAUACGCUACCUAUAACCUGUUACUGGGAUGACUAUGGAUACACACGACUGGGGCAGUCACUUCUACUUUGCAAUAGGAUGUGAAGUUCGAGUGGACCCAUCAGGAGGUGAUUAUUCACAGAGAUGGAAAUAACCUUAUCUACACCAACCAGACUUUGCCAGCUAUCUAUAAUAGAAGGAAAUUGGGAGGAGAGACAUUCCACAACAUUUGAGCGGAUAAACGCAAUCGAGAAAGGGCGAUGGUGGAGCAAAACGAUAUAUAGCGUACUGAUGUGGUUAAGGUAUGAACCAGGCAAGGGUCUUAGCCCCAUGCUUCAAGGAAUCACAGAACCAAUACGACCACAAUAUCAUGGCACAACCUUUAGACUCGGAUAUGAAUACACCGUGCACGAAUAUUAUGAUUGGAUACCACCAUGGUGUGACUUCUACUAUCCAUUGGAACAACCCAUACCACUCCUGCACUUGACAUUCUGCCAAACUGAUGUGAUUUGGUGAUCAAGGAAGAUGAGGUUUUGGCCGGCAUGAGGAAUCUGCUUCUGGAUGAGGAAAAUAUGGACUGCAAUGCGAUCUUGGAGGAGGAGGAGGAGGAAGACCUUACCAUUUAGACAGUGGGAGAUGGAGUUGUUCUCAGGAACUAGACUGCUGUACAAUCCUGGGCUCACCGAGCACCUGGCAUAAUUAUUACAUAUCCUGAUGAACCUACGACUGUGACAUGUAAUGAGACAAUGCAAUAUAAGGAAAGUGAUUCGAAAUAUUGGGAAGAUGAUAUAAUACCUGCGAAAAUUGUCAAAUAAGAAGAGAAUUUUGAAAACAAACCAAAAUCCAAUCUGGAAGAAACUGAGGCAGUUAACUUAGGGGAUUCUGAAACAGUCAAAGAAACUCACAUUAGCAUUCAUCUAUCACAAUCAGAGAAGGAAGCGUACAUCAGAUUUUUAAAGGAAUAUGAGGAUAAUUUCACAUGGUCCUACGAUGACAUGGCUGGGUUAAGCACAUUUAUAGUGGCUUACAAGCUACCUACCAACCCUAUGUGUCCUCCGGUAAAGCAGAAGCUCGGGAAAUUCAAUCCAUAUAUGAGUUUAAAGAUAAGAGAAGAGGUUAAUAAGAAAAUCAAAGCCAUUGUCCUUCGGGUGGUCGAGUACCAAACCUGGCUAGCCAACAUUGUAUCGGUUCCAAAGAAGGAUAGUAAAGUCAGGGUGUGCGUUGACUAUCAAGAUCUGAGCAAAGCAAGUCCUAAGGAUGAUUUCCUAUUGCCCAACAUACACAUACUGAUCGACAACUGGGCCAAGAAUGAACUCCAAUCCUUUGUGGAUUGCUUUGCAGGAUAUCACUAGAUUUGGAUGGAUGAAGAGGAUGUCGAAAAGACAGCCUUCAUCACACCAUGGGGAAUAUACUGCUACAAAAUGAUGUCAUUUGGUUUAAUAAAUGUCGGGGUGACCUUUUUGAGGGCCAUGACUAUUCUUUUUCACGAUAUGAUACCCAAAUAAAUAGAGGUAUAUGUGGAUGAUGUCAUCAUCAAGUCUAAGAAGAGUUCGGAUCACACAACAGACCUAAGAAAGUUUUUUGACCGACUACAAAAGUACAAUAUGAAGUUGAAUCCUGCAAAAUGUUCUUUCAGAGUCCCUGCUGGAAAGUUGUUGGGUUUCAUCGUCAGUUAUCGAGGCAUUGAGUUAGACCCGUCAAAGAUCAAAGCUAUUCAGGAAUUACCACCGCCAAAGAGCAAGAAGGAUAUGAUGUGUUUGCUGGGCCGCAACGACGUUAGGCACCAUCAUGACCUAUAGUGGGUUUUGGAUCCUGAAAGCUUGGUAUCAGAGUACUAGGUUCACUUAAGUCUCACGAGUUAUGAGCAAGUCUAGUAGAGUAUUGCGGAUCGGUACAGAGACGUCUGUACUUAUCUUCAAGAGGCUACAUGGCUGUUAGGAGAACUUCCCUUCCUUAAUUCCUCAUCAUGCGAUUUUAUUUCGUUGAAGCUUAUGACUUCGGUUCCUUCCUACUUAUUCGUACGCGACAUCAAGCAUUUGUUAUCAGUUGAGCACUAACGAGUUGUGAAGAUGCUACAAAUGCAAUGUUAGAUGCUUUUCCUUGCGAAUAUGAGCGGACCAUUAUCGUCGCCUUGUGGAGGAGUGUUCUGUCAUUUCAUCUGAGUGUUGGAGUUGCCUACGAUCGAGAUUUGAUAUUUCUAAAUUUGGUGGAAUUCUUUUUAAUAUUGUGGUGUCUCCAUCCUUGAUUGAAUGCAUUGAGGCUCAUCGGCAUGUUAGCCUUCAUUUGUUUGCCUCUGGGCACGGUGUUGUGACAUGGAACUUAUGAGGAAGUUAUCAGAGAUGGAUGUGUGUUGUGACAUCAGGAUUGAAUUAGUGUUUCCAGUGUUGAUGGUUCGAGAGAGAUGAUCCCUGAGGUGGUCUCUGUGCUUAGGAAUUUUGAAUGUGACGAGAUGGGCAUGAUUGGAAUGAGGGAAAAUGUGAGUAUCCGAUUAUUGUUUUGGAUGCAAUACAACUUCGAGUUUCAAACACAUUGAUGGACAUUUGGGUGAUGUUAAUGAAUGAAUGAAGGGAUUCUUAUGGCUGGAAGAUCAGUGUGGACCCAGGGAGAUUAAUUGAUUUCAUGAUGGAAGUAACUAUAGCAAUGAUGUUGGAUGAGGUCGAUAUGAGGUUACGCAGGUCGGCUAUCUCCUUUGAGCAGGUUAGCGGUUAUGUGGUUUUGCGGAGGUUCCUGUGAAGAGUUCUACUUUCUAUCCAACAUGGGAUGCACGUAUUGCGAUGCGAGCUUGGGUAGCUUGAAGAAGAUAGUAUGACCCCUGGGAGGUUAAGGGUGCGAUGUUAGCUGAUAAUUCAGGAUGUGUUAUUAUUGGUGCAAUAAGAGCUUGCGAGAAGUUGGCCAAGUAAAGGUACGGGAUCAUGGUAACUGGGAAGAAGAAGUCGUUGUGGGGUCUGGACCUCUGUGAUUAUAGCAUGAAGAUAAGUGGGGGAGCCCACCGUGUACGAUUGGGUCACGUGGUUGUGUGCCUGUGCAGUUUUUGGUCAUCGAUGCAUUGAUGUAUUAGUUAUGACCAAGAGAAGAAAAAACAUCAAGGGUAUUUUGGGCAAGUAAUUUGACGUAAAUGUGCUACAUUUCACCUUAUCGAUUCAUGUGCAGAUGUUGGGGAUGACUCAGAAUUUAUGUUUCUUGUGGAUGUGAUGUGCAAGGAAAUGAAUUCAUCCGGUUGCUUCUUUGGAAGUGUUCAUGUAUUAGCAGGGCACUAGAGUUUGAUUAUAUAUUCGGGAUCAGGUCAGGGUGGGUGACUCUCAACAAUGGUUCUAGUGGGUACAAGAAAUAAAGUGCGGUGUUUAAGGAUUUUGGGUUCGUUAUGUGGCUAAGGACUGGGUUUUGCAAUAGAGUAUGAAGAAUAUUUGGGGAAUUUCUAUGUAUCAUCGAGUCUACUGUGGAGUUCUAGAGAAAUGGGAGAAACAACUUCGGAUUCGUAGGAGGGAUUCCAGACGGGUAUAUCGGUGGGAGAUACUAUUGAGUGAAUGGCGAUGGUAUGAGAUGGCUGAUGGGUAUUGAGACGAUGUGGUCUUGUGAUUUGGGUCACUCGAGAUGAGUGUAGUUUGGGGUUAUGUGUUUAAAUAGAACUAUUAGUUUGAAGGCAUGUCAAGAGUAAAUUGGGAAAAGUAGAAUUAGUUAGUAAUGGUUUGAAUCGACAGGGUUGUUGAAAUGAUCAAUUUCUUCAGUGUGGUAAGGCUAUACCAGUGGUUUGUUGAUGUAUGUGCGGGGUUGAAAGGCACCGUGGUUUGAUUGAUUUGGAGGUAUUUGAUUCUAAUGGCUUGGUUAUGUGUGAAUGGAUCCUGAAAGAUUUAUGGCGUUUAGACCGCGACUUAAGGUUUGCGUUUUCAGCAGUUAUGGGAAGUUGGUUAUGGGUGGUGAUUCUUCUUCUAAGAUGAGUUAAGUGAAAGGUUUCGAGCUGAUGAAGUGUUAACUCUACUGAUGGUUCAUGAGAUUAUGAUGAAAUUCUUGUACUCUAUAGUAGCAACAUCAUAUGUGCAAUGAGCGUUAUAGAGAUUGGAAGUUGAGGAUUAGGGUUUCAGUUCAGUUUUGAUAAGAAUGUCAAGAGUUCAAAAAUGCGGCGAGGAAGGGGGGGGGAUUUCAGAUAUUUAGAGUAUGCUUGCAUUAUCUUAGUGUCGCCUGAGAAUGGUGUUCUGUGUAAGAGGCAUGGUGUAUUGAUUUGCGGAUUAUUAAUUUACAUUAGAGAAUUUGUACGGUUGGUGGUAUGGAUGUGCAGACCUUGCUACCUGGUGCAGGAGGUCGUGGACUGACUCUCGUAGGAUGAUUGUAAUGUUGCUGAUGGGAGAUUUUAUGUCUGAGAGGCACUCUAUUUCUCUGGGUGUGGACUGUGGUAGUUUAUUACUAAUUUGACGGUUGAUCGUAUGUGUCAUGGAUAUGGUCAUUGUGGAUCUUUGGGAGGUUAUAAACCCAUUUGGAGAUGAUCGGAAUCGGCUGUAGGUCCAUUGGUAGGCCUAACGUGAACGUAUAUUUUAUACCAGAUCAGAUAUGCUUAUUCGGCAUAGCAUCGCUUAUGGAAGGGUCUUCGGGCAUAGUGAAUGGUAUUCCAGACGUCGUCUGUUUCAAGUGCUACUCUUUUAUGCCACGUGAUUUGUGAGAUAACUUGAUUAUUCAUACGUGUGUUGUGGUGCUAUGCAGCUUGUCGUUUAUUUCACCUUAGUCGAGCUUAAAUUUUGUAGAGAACGGCGCUAUCCGGCUCCCCAAGGUUGUAUUUAUGCACUUAGAAUGCUCGUGGUAGAUAUUCGGGCAUUUCAUAGGUAUGAGCAUUUUGGCUCGAUGGGUAUUUCCUUAUUUAUUGUUAUGUGUGGAUCGGGUGGCACGCCGCCACGGGUAUGAUUUGUAGAUUGGGUUAUACGCCGCAACAGUGAGAUGUUGAAAACAACUUCUUAUACCUAUUUUGUAUGCCUCGUUUCUCAUCUCUGAGAUAGGCUCAUAUCAUCCUUUUGUCCAUUUUAUUUGUUCUAUGGGAUGGGUAGUUCUUUGCCAGAGUUCAUUCUUUCUUAUAAGUCAUAUUCGAGUUGUAGUUUAUUGGCGUAUUGAUGUGGUCGUAGGAGAUUGGGGUGGUUUUUGAUGUGGCUUGUCGGUCGAGCAGCUUGUAUUGGGUGAGACGAGAUGGUUGGACCUGGAGUUAGUGCAAUCAGAUUUAUAUAAGGCAUAUUAAAGAGAAAAUGUCACUAUUCAAUUCAGAAUGAGGUAAUGGUUUUUGUCAAGCAGAGACACUCCAUGAUUUAUUGACUUGGUUGGUGGUUAUGAGCUUCUACGUGUCGCUUUCAUCGUUGCAGUAUCGCGCAGGUUGGAUCAUGGCUUAUACGCAUUAUAAGGUAUACUACAUGCAUCAAGUUAGUAAAUUUGCAGCUUCUAUGAUUGGAGGAUGUUAUUAUGGGCUUGAGUAGUUUCACUUCAUGUUUUAUGACUUGUACGCGUAGUCGGAAUUGAAUUUCGGGGAUGAUUCAGAUGGAAAAUUCUCAAUUCAGAUGCUUGAAGUUGGAAGAAUUUACCAAGGUUUGACUUUUGAGUAAAUAACCUCAGAAUCGGGAUUUGAAGGCUCCAAUAGGUUCUUAUGAUAAUUUCGUACUUGGGCGUAUAUUCGGGUUGAGUAUCGGAUGGUCCGAAAGCUUUUUGGUGGUUAUUGUGAAAAGUUGACAUUUUGAAGGUUUUAGAAUUUCCUAAGUUUGAUUAGAAGUGGACUUUGGUGUUAUCGAUGUCCGUUUGGGAUUCCAACCCUUGGAAUAGAUUCGUAUUGUGAUUGUGACUUGUACGUGAAAUUUGGCAUCAUUCCGGAAUGUUUAAGUGUAAUUCGGACGUGUUCGGCGAAGCUUGAAAGUUGAAAGAAGGGUUUUGACUAUGAAUUCAUAGUUUGAAUGUUGUUUGGUGUGAUUUGACGCCUCGAGCAUGCAUCAUGUUUUGGGAAUGGUUGGUAUGAUUGGACGGGGUCACGAGGGCCUCAGGUGUGUUUCAGAUGGGCUACAUGUCAUUUCUCCAAGUUUGAAUUGUUUUUCUGAGAUUUGGUGCAUCAUUCUUCGCGAUCGCGAAGAAAUGGCUACGAUCGCAGAGAGCAAAGUUUUGUUCCAGGCCUUGUGAAUUGUGAUCGCGGAAAGAAAUUCGCGAUCGAGUAGAAGGCAUUUUUGCUAUCACUGGUCUGCCUUCGGGAGCUUAUAUCUUGCAAUAUAUAAGGAAUUUGGAGAUUGUUCAAAAAACAAAGUUGUAGCCCUUUGAAUCUAGUUUUUAGAAAAUUCAAACCAUUCGUCAUGUGAAAAUUUUUACAAAAGAUAUGGCCAUUAUAUCUAAGGGUAUCUGUAAAGAGGAAACACAAUUGUACAUCGCGAUUGUGAGGUUUUGGUCACGAUUGCGAUAAAGGUAACGAUGCUGGAACUUUUGUUAAUCGCGAUCGCAUGGAUAUUGACCGUGAUCGCGAAGAAUGAGGUAUGACAGGUGUGUUAAACAUCUAUUUUUGGGAUUUUAAGCUCAUUUGAUCACUUUUACGGUCUUGGAGCUCAUGUGGGGCGAUUUGGGGUGAUUCUGGAAGAUUGUUUUCAUCAUAUAUCAUAAGGUAAGUUAUUCCUACUUGUUUCGAGUUAAAUACAUGGGUCGUAUAUGGAUUUUAACAUGGAAAUUUGAUAGAAAUUAUGGAAUUUUCGGAAGAAAACCUAGAAUUGAUAUUUUUAGAUUUUGAUCACGAAAUUGGACACGGGAUUAGGAAUAAAUUAUAUAUUUGAGUUCGUGGUAUUAUGGAUAACGUUUAACUUCAAAUUGUUUUGAAAUCUGGGCACGGGGGCUUGAGAUUUGACUUUGUUGACUUUUCGAGCGGAGUUGGGAAUUGUUAUGAAUUGUUAAAUUAUGAGUAUAGUUUUAUGUGUUUGUACGUUGUUUGACUAGUUUGGAUCGAUGGGCAUUGAUUUAGGGUAUUAGAGAGGCGUUAGAGCCGGUUAAGUCUCCUAUCUAACCUUGUGAGGGGGUAAUUUACCCUAUAGCUAUUAUAUUUAUUAUGUGCUACAUGUUGUGGGAGCUACACACGUAUGAGGUGACGAGUGUCCGUGCGUAUACUAUAAUUCCUGUUUAUGUACGGGUAGACAUAGACUCACGCCAUACUUUAAUUGUACUAUUAAAGUUAUUAUUGCUUGGUUGAUUAUUUUAAUUUGCAUUACGACUAGAGAGUAGACUCGCGUAAAGUAAUGGACUCGCUGUGUUAGAUACUUGAUUAGCCGCGAAAAGUUAUGCUUGCCUUACGAAUUUCUCCCACGUUGUGUGUAUUCAUCAAAACAUUUCCUUAAAUUUCAUAACCCACACGUAUAUUCGUGAGUGAGGUCAAGGACCCGUUAAAACUUCUUAUUCUAAUGGGAUCAGGUCGUUCGCCUCGGCAAGAUUAUGUAUCACACUCUUAUGGGAUCGGGUCGUUCGCUCUGGAAGGACUAUGUACCACAUUCUUAUGGGAUCGGGACGUACUCUUCGGCGGGAUAUUAUUGUAACACACUCUUGUGGGAUCGGGCUGUUCGCCUCGGCUGUAUCAUGUACCAUAUUCUUAUGGGAUCGGGCUAUUUGACUCGGUAUUUCUAUAAAACACUCUUAUGGGAUCGAGUUGUUCACCUCGACAGCAUCAUGUAUUAUAUUCUUAUGUGAUUGGGUCAUUCGCCUCAGUAACAUCAUAAAAUACUCUUAUGGGAUCGGGCCGUUCGCCUCGGUAGAAUCGUGCAUAAUAUUUGACAAGAAGUCAGUCUAUCCAUGAGUUUUCAUGACUUGAACUGUGACGACCUAUCUGGUGGGGACCUUAUUAUAUACUCCAUUUGAGGAGGUAACCGAUAUGUGAGGACUUGUGUUACUUUUUAGAUGAGGAUCGUAUCAUGUACCUAUAUUUGUUUUCACUGUUUAAUUACCAUACUUCAUACUUAUUUACUUUGUACUGUACUUGAUUUAUUGGACCACUAGUAAGUGUCGAUGUUGACCCCUUGUCACUACAUCUCCGGGGUUAAGCUAGAUACUUACUGGGUAUGCGUUGAUUUACGUAUUCAUGCUACACUUAUGCACUUAUUGUGCAGGUAUAUAUAUUUCUGGUGGUCUUUUGGGUGCAAAGGCGCAGCGAUUGCGGGGACUUUACGGUGAGCUGCAUCCCAUAUUACCAUCAGCAGCAUACAGAGUCUCCAUCAUAAUUAUUUACAUUAUCCUAUCUAUCUUGUAUUACAAACAUAUAUUGUAUUGUUAUUGUACUUUCUAGUAGAUGGUCAUGCACUUGUGAUACCGGGUUUGGGGGUGUUCUAGAAUUUGUUUAUGGUAUGCUUUAUCAUUGACACAAUAUUACUUUAUAUUACAAUUAAAUUGUCCUUAUCUACGAUUUUUUAAUGCAUUGAUCUCUCUAUAUAAUAAUAUUCAUGAUUUCAAAAAUAAUAAAAUAAAUAAUUAAGUUCGUAGUUCACUGUGGCUUGUCUAACGGCCACGUUGGGCGCCUUCAUGACCUAUAGUGGAUUUUGGGUCGUAACAUUUAGGACUUAGAAAUAAAUUAAAAUUUUGCACAUCUUUCCUUAUUUGAAUUAUUAUUUAAGAAGUCUUAAUAUUUAGGACUUGUAAAUCAAUUGAAACUUUAUCUAAACUCGACAGGGAUAAACACAAUUUGGGUUAUAUAAAUCCUUUCGUUCUAAUCUUUUUAAUUUAUGCGUAGCUCCAUACUUCGUUUAAGAAUUAAAAGAUAUCAAAUCAUUGAGUUCACAAUUAGUGUAUAGGGUAAAAUAUGAUGUGACACGUGGCCACCCAAAAGAGGGACACGUGGAACCCAAUACGGGGGUACGACUAAGACCGAAUGCACUUGAUCCGUUUGUCACAGGAAAGAAUAACGCUCAUAAAGAUGUGAUAAAUACUUUUCGCCUGGUAGAAUUUAAUAGAGAAUAUUCCGUGGUAUUAAGAACGAUUACCCGUUACAAGGAAUUUGGCAUUUAUGUUCAUCGUUACAUCUUCAUCAAUGACCCUCAAAAUCGACAUUAAAUGAGGGCACGAUCAUAGGACCUCCUUCCCUAGACAUAGUAGUGAGCUCAAUUAUCAUUGUAAGGGAGACGAAUUUUCUGACAAACUUAUGCAACAUUCUAUUCAAAGUUUAAUACAAUCUUAUCUUCUUGCUUUUCGAUUCCAUUGUUGUUGUGCCUGGAAACCCUGUUCCCGAAACUAUUUUUUCUAUUAUUUAGUAUCCAUCUAAAGGUUGAGUAAUGCAUAAUUCUUCAACUAUUUUAUUAUUUCAGGAUCAAUUAUUUCACUUGUCUAGAAACCACGUAUAAAUUCAAAUGUACCGUUUUACGGGUAAAUAGUUUGGCGCUCACCGUGGGGCUUAGAUAGGAGUCUGAUUAUAUUGAUCUUUGCCUUUUUUACUAACGUGUUUUGAUUAUUUUGUCGUAGAAAACAUCAUGAGAAAUGGCAGAUAACACUGUUGACAACACAUACAAUCCCGAGAUUCGAGGGGAUUAACAUCAUUUCGAGGACUCAAUUAGUGACACCCAUAAUUAGGCGAAUGGCGCCACACCGGUGCAUGAUAGGAAAUAUCCUCAAUAUGUUCGAGGGAUAACUCCCAAUGAUGCUGAGGAGGAACAUGUCAUUUACGCAGUAAGGGACUUGCAAGAGAAACAAGCGAUCAUUCUAGAACACCUCACGCGACAUGAUAAGGUUAUGACGGAGUUGAAGCAGGCGUUGUCAGUCGCUUUUAAUAAUGCAAAUAGAUGAUAACUGAUUCCUCCUGGUGCUCCUGAGAAUCGAACAAUGCAGAGGGUCGACAACAACACUCCUAGGGGAGAAGUCGGCUCCGACGGGGCUGGGGGGAGCAAAUCCGGCCUAAAUAACGAGAACGAUCCUUUCAAGAAUGAACUUUUACGAUUUAUGAGGGAAGUGAACGCCCGCAUGGACCAAAUCCCGGGCACGCAACCAGUGCUAAAAGGCCCGGACUCAAAGAAGUAUACUCAAUUGCCAUACAAGCCAAAUGCGGCACUAAAAUUAAUCCGGAAGUGGUUCAAAAUGCCCGAUGUGGCAAGGAAUGAUGGAACUUCAGACCAUCAAGAGCACAUUACCACCUACACAACGGCGGUGAGAGGAAAUGAUUUAGCUCCUCACGAAAUUGAAUCUGUUUUGCUGAAGAAAUUUGGAGAAACUCUUACGAGGGGAGCCUUGGCGUGGUAUUCACUAUUACCCGAGCACUCCAUAGACUCCUUUGAGAUGAUUGCGGACUAUUUCAUCAAGGUUCAAGCCAGGUCCAGAAAAGUGCAGGCCUAAAAGGACGACAUAUUCAGGAUUGCGCAAGGAGAGUCCGAGUUACUAAGAGAAUUCAUUACCCAAUUCGAGAAAGAGAGAAUGUUUCUCCCAGUUGUCCCAUUGUAUGGGCAGCUGAAACAUUAACCAAUGGAUUGAAUUCGAGAAGUUCAGACACUUCCCGAAAAUCGAAGGAAAGCCUGCUUGAGUUAUAAGCAACGACUUGGGUGGAUGUCCACAACGGGUACGAGUCAAAUAUAAGGAUCGAAGAUGAUCAGGUUGGUUUUCCAUCGUCGACCAAAGGCCGGGAGAAGAAUAGAAAAAAAUCAAAAGAUGAUUAUGACAUGGAUAGACGGACUUCGAGAGGCCGGAAUUUUCCCUACGAAUGGACUGAGGGCCACGGCAGAAACUUUCGAAAAGCAGAUAGGUCCGUCGUUGACAGAAAGACCGAUCGCGGUCGGAAUAAUAGAUCACUACAGGAUAAAGAAGCGCCAGGGUCACGGGAUCCUUCUUAACCUAAGUUGUCGGAAUACAACUUUAACGUCAGUAUAAUGGAGUUGGUGUCAGCUAUGAGAAACAUCUAAGAAGAAAGGUUCCUGAAACCAAUAAGAUCUGAACCCAUCCAGAGGGAUCCCAACUUAUGGUAUGAAUACCAGGGGACAAAUGGCCACCGGACAGGGGACUGCCGACACCUUAGGGAAGUAGUGGCAACAUUUUUGAAGAAUGGUCACCUCAGAUAAUUCUUGAGUGACCGAGCUAAGAACAAUUAUGGUCUUAACCGGGAAAAGGCGGAACCCUCGAAAGAAGGAGAAGAUCCCCCACACCAAACGAUCAACAUGAUCUUCGUAGGGAACGAGAUCAACUGGGUCACCUUUUUGGGAGCAAAGGAGACAAAAGUAUCAAUAACCCAUAGCAAAAGACUUCGGUAAGACGAUAGCACUUUCACGGAGAAAGACGUAGACGGAUUGCUGCUAUCACACAAUGGCGUACUGGUAAUUUUGUAAAAUGUUCUAGAUUUAAAGAUUAAACAUAUUCUAGUGGAUCCAGGAAGUUCGGCUAAUAUCGUACAAUGAAGAGUAUUGGAGCAAGCUAAACUCACCGGAAGCAUUAUUCCGGCCACAAAGCUCAUCGCCAGAUUCAACCUCGCGAGCGUGACAACUCGAGGAGAAUUUUAUUACUAAUAAAUGCCAAAGAAGUAAUAAAAACAAUUCUCUUCGAAGUGGUAGAUGGUGAUAUGGGAUAUAACAUCAUUUGGGGAAGGCCAUGGUUGCACGAGAUGAAAGUUGUACCAUCAACAUAUCAUCGAUUGCUGAAGUUUCCAACACCCGAAGGAAUUAAGUAGAUAUGGGGUGACCAACCGUCAGCAAGGGAGAUGAAUCCAAUUUCAGUCUCCAGCAACAAAGGAAAGGAACGCGCGGCAUAAUAAUUACAGGAACCGACACCUGGUCCCAAACUAGAUGAAGUUUGCCCGGGAAUAGAGGCGUAGGAAUAUUAUCAGGUGCCGAGAUAUUUUCAAGUUCCAAAAGAGACGGAUGCAACUAAAUCCAUAGUGGAAGAGCUUGAGAAAGUUUCAUUGUUUGAAGAAUUCUAGAAAGGAAGUUCCACUUGGGGACACGACUGCACCCGAAACUCAGGUCUGGCUUUGUUAAAUUCCUUAAAUCUAAUGCCGAUUGUUUUGCAUGGUCGCAUGAGGACAUGACAGGUAUCCCGAUGGAGGUAGUCGUACAUGAGUUAAGUUUGGACCCCACCAUACCUCUGGUAAGACAAAAGAAAAGCCCUAUUGCCAAAGCCAGGAAUAAAUUCGUUAAAGAAGAGGUAACCCGUUUACUUAAUAUCGAUACAAUUCGAGAGGUAAAAUAUCCAGACUGGUUAGCCAAUGUAGUAGUAGUUCCUAAGAACAAUAAAUUUUACAUGUGUGUAGAUUAUAAAGAUCUUAAUAAGGCGUGCCCGAAAGACUCAUUUCCACUACCAAACAUCGAUCAAAUGAUUGAUGCCACGAUCGGGCACAAGUUAAUGAGUUUCCUCGAUGCUUAUUCCGGGUACAACCAAUUUAAGAUGAACCCGGAGGAUCAGGAAAAGGCUUCGUUUAUAAUAAAUUUCGGUACAUAUUACUACAAUGUCAUGCCAUUUGCAUUGAAAAAUGCCGGAGCCACUUAUCAACGGCUUGUGAAUGGGAUGUUUGAAAAUCAAAUAAAAAAACUAUGAAAGUUUAUAUAGACGAUAUGCUCGUUAAGACUUUGAAUGCAAGUGAUCACCUUAAAUAUUUGCAAAAAACUUUUGACAUCCUAAGGAAGCAUAAUAUGAAACCUAACCUCGAGAAACGCGCGUUCGGUGUUAGCUCUGGUAAGUUUUUGGGAUUUCUGGUAUCGAAAAGGGGAAUUGAAGUUAACCCUAAUAAGAUCAAGGACAUAGAAGACAUCCCGUACCAACUGUCAAACGUGAAGGGAGUACAAAGGUUCACGGGGAGAUUGGCAGCUUUGAGCAGGUUCAUUUCCCGCUCAUCACAAAAAUGUCAUCAUUACUUCGCAGUGCUCAAAAAAAAAAAUUCGAAUGGACCCCGGAGUGCUAGUAGGCUUUGAGGGAUUUGGAAAAAUACUUGUCAAGCCCUCCAUUGCUUUUAAGACCAAAAGAAGAUGAAAUGUUGUUAGUUUACCUUGCGGUCUCAGAAGUUGCGGUGAGUGCGAUUUUAGUCCGUGACGAAGAAGGUAUGCAAUCUAUCAUUUAUUAUGUUAGUAAAAUUUUAACGAGAGUAGAAACUCGCUACCCACAUUUGGAGAAACUGGCCUUAGCUCUCGUAGUCACUGCUCGGAAGCUGAGGCCCUACUUCUAAUGCCACCCGAUAGCCGUGGUGACCACUUUCCAUUUGCGGAACAUCCUCCAUAAACCGGAGCUCUCGAGUAGAUUGACAAAAUGGGCUGUCGAAAUGAGUGAUCUUGACAUUGAAUAUAAAUCAAGGACUGCAAUUAAGUCGCAAGUAUUGACUGGCUUCGUGGCCGAUUUCAGUGCCUCUAGAAACCAAGGAUGCAGUAAUGGUAUCAGAAUUAACUUUAGGGGUUUGGACCUUAUUUACAGACAGAUCUUCCAACAUAAAAUGGGCUUGGUAUAGUCUUAAUCACGCCAUUAGGGGAAACCCUAAGGCAAGCCAUUAGAACGGUCCCUUGAACUAACAAUGAAGUAGAGUAUGAAGCUUUGAUUGCAGGGCUAAAUUGGCCCGGGGACUUAACUCCGAGGUCAUCAAAAUCAAGUGCGACUCACAGCUGGUGGUAAAUUAGGUAUACGGAACCUUCGAAACCAAAGUGGAACACAUGCAACAAUACGUGGUUAAGGUACAUGCAUUGUUGGCGCGAUAUCGGGAGUGGUCGAUUACUCAUAUCCCGAGGGAAGAUAACGCAAAAGCAGAUGCAUUGGCUAACCUUGGAUCAUCGAUGGGAAUAAAGGGAUCAGAAUCCAGGACGGUAGUACAACUGAUGAACUCAGUCCUGAAUACAGAUGGUUACUAUGAAGUAAAUGGGAUUAAUUUGGUCUGGGAAUGGAGAAAUAAAAUUAUUGAUUAUCUUGAGCACGGAAAGCCGCCCAAAAGAGGAACACGUGGAACCCAAGAUGGGGGUACGACUAAGACCGAAGGCAAAUGUUCCGUUUGUCACCAAAAAGAAUAACGCUCAUAAAGAUGUGAUAAAUACUCUUCGCCCGAUAGCAUUUAACAGAGAAUAUUCCGUGGCAUUAAGAACGAUUACCCGUUAUAGAGAAUUUGGCAUUUAUGUUCACCGUUACAUCUUCAUCAAUGACUCUCAUAAUUAACAUUAAAAGAGGGAUACAAUCCUAGGACCUCCUUCCCUAGACAUAGCUAUAAAUAGUAAGCUCAGUUAUCAUUGUAAGGGAGACGAAUUUUCUAACAAACUUAUGCUACAUUCUAUUCAAAGUUUAAUACAAUCUUAUCUUCCUGCUUUUCGAUUCCAUUGCUGUUGUGCCCGGAAACCCUGUUCUCGGAACUGCUGUUUCUGUUAUUUAGUCCCAUCUAAAGACUGAGUAUUGCAUAAUAUUUCAAUUAUUUUAUUAUUUCAGGAUCAAAUUAAUUCACUUGUCUAGAAACUACGUAUAAAUUCAACUGUACCGUUUUAUAGAUAAACAAUUUGAUCACUCAAAUCGAUAUAUUGUAACUUCGAAUGAGUAGAAGGUUUCGUACACUUAAAUCAAUAUUUCUCAACUCAAGAACUUUCUUUAGCAUCUAUUUUUUAGCUAAAACAUUCAUUACUGCUGGGUACAAAUUUUGUAGCAAUUGACGCAUGCAAAAAUUACGCACGUAUACAAGUACUUUUUAACUUUUAAAAGUAUAUUACACAUUAGAUAAAAUUAUUAUUAAUUAUUUUUUAAUAUUUAACACUUUGAAGUUAACUAAAAUUUUGAAUAUUAAGUCUUUAAUUUCUUAUUUGAACUAUGUGUAACUCUUAAUAUUUAAGAAUUUAAAAUCUUUUUUCUUACUUGAAUUAUGUAAAAUUACUAUACCACUUUAUUUAUUUCAUUCGCAAAGAAGAAAAACUGAAAGUUUAAAUUCGAUUGAUUAUUAUCAAAUAUCUAAUUAUUUGAAUGGAUAUCAUUAUGUCGCGAAUAAAAUUGAUCUCUCCGAAGAUUGGUUGGUUAUUUUGUAGACCGAAAAUAAAAAUACAAAGGCUGAUGUAUUAAAGCCAAGAUCUGGUUUUUAUUAUGUUGCGGUUACACGGUUACAGGAUAUUGUUAAGUACUAUCAGUUUGGUUUAGGCAUUUCAAGUUUAAUAGGGAUAUAUUCAAGUUUUGUGAAAGUAUUGAAGAUGUUAUAGUUAUUCCAAUACAAUCAGCUGCCUGUUGUCAUUGAUUGUUUAAACUAUAUGCAUGGCGGAUUGAGAGUACUAUAAGAGCUAAGUUCAUAUGACGUUUUCGACACUGAAUAUAAAUAUAUGUGAAAAAUAAUAAAAUUUAAAUAAAUAUUAAAUUAGAAACUCAUAAUUUUAAUAGUAUAGUGGAUUAAAUAGUAAAAAUGUAGUGGUUGCGCCAAAUCAAACUAAAACUCAUUAAUUAUAAUUUAGUUUCUAUGAAUCCGAUUUUAGCAAUAUGCUAAAAACAAGGUUAUGUAAUUCAAGUUUACUGGCCAAGUCUAAUAAUAAGGCAUUUAAAGAAUUUCGCAUGACAAUAUUUCUUUCUUUACUAAGUUAGCUAAAUAAGAUAUGUUUUAUUUUUAAUUUGUAGGCAUUGGCACAUAUUCCUUUUUUUAUUUUUAUUUUAUAAAGCAUUUUAAUUAAUGUUUAUUAAAGUUUUAUAUUUAAUAAUAUGGGGAUCACGCGCAACGUGCGUAUUCUAAUACUAGUUUAACUGAUAAAGAAAAUUAAAGUGGAUCCUCUAAUAAUAGAUCGUAUGCUAUAAAAUAAGGAAAUCAGAAUGUUGAUUAAAGCUUUCGUUAUGCCUUGCAUUUGUCUUACCAUAAUAUUAUUAUUGAAUUGAAAUUACAAAGAUAAAGUUAAUCCCAUACGUAAAAAAUACAUAUGCAAAGUUACCUUACUAUGGGGGCGAACAGGAUGCAUCUAAGGAUUUAGGAUUAGAGACAUCACUAAAAUAUCCAUCAUAAAACAUCUUGGAGUCACAAUAAAAAUCUGUUUCUCCAUCUCUACAUCUUCUUUCCAACUCCGACUGAGGAGUAUGAUCUAAGCCUCUUGUUACUGUUAAAUAGUCAACACAUUCCCAAACACAAUCUUCUUCUACUGAUGGAGGGUAUGUUUUACAAUUUACUAAUGUCAUACACAUUAUGAAGAAAAGCACACAAGUCUGCUCUAAUAUCCUCAUCUGCAUACCAGACAUCCUCGUGUUUGUAUUUCCUGCAAAGAUAAAUAAUUACCCAAUAACGUUAAAAAGUUUGAUAAGCACCCUUUCAGAAUUUGUAUAAACUAGAAUAUUACCAGAUCAAUGUAGAUAUUAUGCUAAACAUGUAAAGCAUUAAGCAUUCAAGAAAUCCUCUCAAAUAUAAAUAAACAACACGCUCACUUUUUUCUGAAAAAUAUAAGAUCUUCGCAAGUAAGCACGUGGACUAGCUUAAUUUUGGUUCUUGAAGGAACCUCAAAUUGUUGCACUUGCUCCCGAAUGUCGUUGUUGCUCUCAUUUUAUGUACAAUUUACAAGUUAGAAUAUGUGAUAUAGCAAUUUUGCUAUUGCAGAUGUAUAUAUGCGAAAUUGCAAUGGGCAUCAUUCCAAAUACUGUUAUUGUAUAUUAACUGAAAAGACGGGUUAAUUUCACUAAUGACCAUUGAACUAUCUUUCAAUUUCACUAAAGUCAUAUAACUAUUUUUUGUCACUUAAAAAUAACUAAACUUUAUCAUUCUCACUUAAAAGUCAUUUGGCCUCAAACCCCUACCAUAAUUAGUAUAGAAUAAUUAUGAAUGUGGCGUGACAGAAAAGGCAAAAUUUUGUAGUAUUGGAUAAUCAUUUUAAACUAAUGUGGAAUUAAUAUUUUUUUUUAUCAAAACUCAUUUGGAUUAUGGAUCAAAUCACAUUAAAGAAUAAAUGAAUCUAAAAUGGGUAUGACCUAUAUUAGCUUAUGUGGCAUUUAUUUUUGGAUUUUUAUCAUAAAAUUUAAUGCCAUGUCAUAUUUAUGGUAGGGGUUUGAGGCAAAAUGACUUUUAAGUGACAAUGAUAAAGUUUAGUUAUUUUUAAGUGACAAAAAUUAGUUAUAUGACUUUAGUAAAAUUGAAAGAUAGUUCAAUGACCAUCAGUGAAAUUAACCCCUGAAAAGACCGAUUAUAAGACAUUUUCAACCUAAAAUAUUCAAGUGUAUGGAAAUGGAGAUUGUUCCAAAUAUAGAAGCACAGUAUUAAGAAGCAAACAUAAACAAACUAAUAAAUAAAAGGAGAAUAAAAAAUUCUUGCUUACCCCUUUCUUUUGAUAUAUCACAACAACGUUUAACCUUUUUCAAGACAAGGUUGUAGGAUAAAAAUAAAAAGAGCAAUUAAUAGUAUUUUGACCUGUACCGCAUGAACAUACAUUUCAUUCAUUUUUAAAGGCUGAAAAAGUUCAUGUAUGCAGAUGUAUCGCUCGGUUUCUUUUCACAUUAAUGAAGUCUCAUUAAUUAAUAUGAGAAAAUAUUUUAUGACAGUUCAUUAAUUGUAUUGUCAAAGCUUACAGCCUCUUGCCAAAUUAGAAUUAGAGAAACCUUCUGGGAUUACUGGUAAAUUAUAUAAAUCCAAUUCUUUGUGGAUUUCAUUAUCAUAUGUCGAAUGGUAAACUGUAAAUAUUAACGAUGCUGCAUCUUAGUUCAUGAAUUUGAAUCCUGAAAAGUUCUAAGGAUUAGUACUACUGUGUUAAGCUAGUGAGCUUUACUUAAUUUAUGUUAAGAACAUUAACUCUAAGUGCUUACCCUAAAAAACGGAUAACAAUUAAUUAAAUUUGUAUGUAGUUUUAAGGAUAUGCAGAUUAAUUCAAUAUAAAUGAUAAAUGAUGUUAGAUUAAACAGGUAAAGGACGUAAUAAAUUGUCAAACCAAUAAGGAGAGUGAUCUCGGACUCAGUAACGCCUUAAUGAAAUGCAUGCCUUCGAUCCCGGGAUCACACUAAUGAAGACGUGAUGAACAAAAGUAAGAACUUUGAAUAACAGAGAAAAUAAGAGUAUAUUGCCUUGAUAUGCGCGUUACAAUGUGUCCCUAUGAAUAAUAAGCUUUCCCUUUUAUAUAGUAGGGGAGUCUUACCCUAAAUAAAAUUAUAAACAAGGUAAAAAUCUUUCGUUUCGACGAUUACGAAUUUUUCGCUGAUACUGGCCGAAAUUCACGCUGUGAUAUCCGGUUAGGCACGAAUAUCUCGGCCCUUUGUUAGUCGUGUGCAGCUACUUGAUAACGUUCUCCGAAGUCUCAACCCUUAAAUCCGAGGGCAGGUGUUUGCUUGAGCCCUAAUACGAGGGGUUCUUCGUUCUGACUUUGGUGUAUUACGAUCAUGUUACUACUCUGCUCCACCGGGAAGACGAGUCAUACAGUGGGCUCGAUUCUACCCGUAUACAGAUAGUCCCCUCGUUUCUCAGAGAAUAUGCUUGCUGAAACGAUAGGAAACGACAGAUGCCUCUAAUUCCUUCCUUUGUACGUUUCGACGGGGAGCAGAAACGUCCCAUCAAUAGCGUCGUUCUGACUUCGGACACAUGUCGUUCACCACCAGGUUGCUUCCGAAUGCGAAGCGUCGACCGUUUCCCUACAAAAGCCCCUUCCUCUGUCCCUUUUCCACUUUCCUAUCAAACCGCUAUCUUCGAGCCAUUACCAAUUAUCAAAACAUUCAUCAAGUCUUCAAAUCUUCAUCCCCGCUCUUCAAUCUUCAUAGCAAUAUCUAGAUUUCUACCAAUAACUUCUUCAAAUCUUCAUACCCUGUUCUUCAUCUUCAAAAUCCAUUUCUCCAAAGCUUUGUCUUUAUUCAUCAAAUGUUCAAACUUUCUCUUAAAUGACAAUGGCAAAAACAUUGAAACCUAUUCCUCAACAAGUUGCCUCUUCAUCUUCUCAGCCGGAUGCUGGUACUGAAGCGGUCGCCCCCGAGGCGGUGGCCCUCAAAAUGUCUUUCCUUGUUGCGGCUGUUAAUGUAUCGUCCUCCGAGCCUCCUUUGUCGGCGUUCAUCCCCGGGGGAUGCUCAAAUGCUGAGGACAUCAAGGUCGAGGAGCCUUCGCGUAAACAGGACCGUGGCAGAGGGGUCUCGAGAUAAAUAUGUUCCGUGACUGAGGUAAUUCUUCACAUAGUUAGUAAGGACUGUGAUUGGGAAGGCUAGGACAUAGUAGUCCCCGGGCCUGAGGACGCCGUUACUACCCAUGUGAAGGGGUACUUAAGUAUUUACUCUUAUCCCUUCAUGCUGGUCCCGGUGGACCCGAUUAUCCUGGAUUUUUGCAAGAGGUAUGAAGCAUGUCUCGGGAAAAUCCAUCCAUCAAUAUGGAGGAUCGUGACCCUCCUCUGUUACUUCGUGAACAAGACCGAAUCUCGUUGGUUCACGAUCGACUACCUACUCCAAUUAUACAAUCCCUGAAUGUUUCGAGGGGGACUGAUUAAUCUCACACACCGGGCUAGCAAGACCCCCUUCUCUAGUAUCGACGAAGACCAAGACCGUGGAUGGCAAGGACGCUUCGUCCGAGUAAAGACCGAGUAUUUAAUCCCCUCAGAAUAUAUGCCAUUCCCUAAGAAGUGGAAUGUGUCUAGUAAGUGUAAGUCCUUCUUCUAACAUCAAAAUUUCUUCUUCCUUUAUUUCAAUCUUCGCAUUCGUGUUUGUCACUAUGCAGCUGUUGCCCGAGUUCUGAAUGCGGUCCCCCGAUUGAAGGAGUGGAUCGAGUGAAUCUGUACCCAGAUGUCCUACUUCAAGCGCACAUGGCACAGACUCUCAAAGGGCCGAUAGGAAGCCCGUUCUCAUGGUAAGGUCUAUUUCUGAAUGGUCAUCACUACGUCUCCAUCUUAUAUUAUACUAACCCACUCUCUUUAUCAUUGUAGGUUUGCCUAAGACCACCAAACUUAGGCCUUUGGAAGGGUACGAAGAUGUGACCUCGCCCGUUGAUCCCUCUGUUGCUUCCACAGUGGGAACAAAGAAGAGAAAAAGAAAACCAUUGGGAUCCCCGUGCUCUGAGACGAAGAAACCAAAGAAUUAGGUGCUCCGCAAGCCUAGGAGGGGAUCCAGAUCCCGUGCGCCUGCCUCCGACUCCCUCUUCCGGCAUAGGGAUGAGCCGGAGGAUGAGUCUGUCUUCGUAACUCAUGGGACGACUACCUAUCCCGGGGAUUGGGAGGCAUCCGAGGGGGAGACUAGCGAGACCGACCCCCCUCUAACUCAGAAAGCCAAUGCUAUCCCCGAGGUGAAACUUCCCAGGAUGUCGGCUCUACACCGAAGGAAGUGCCCGCAUAAUCUAGAUUUCUGGGAUGCCGUCUUACACCAAGUCGAUGCUCGAAGAACCCCAAGUAAGGAAGGAGAAAUCUAAUGAAGGGGCUCAUGGCAUGGACGAUCCCCUUCGUUCCUUCUUUGACGGUGUGGACUUGUUUGUCUUGGAAGACUUUUCCGGGCUGGGCGACCUAGAAGUGCCGAGAAAAGAUCAGUCUUCAGAAAUCGGAGGGCUAAACUCGAGCCCAAAGUUAGUCAACCAGUUCCCCGCCCCAAGUGCGGACCCCGGUCGUAAGAGGUUGAUAAUCAUCACUGUUCCGAAGGAUGCCUGGGUUCUUUCUCCUCCUGUGAGAGUAGCGAGCCACCUUCGAUGCUUGGUGACCGAAGAAGACCAUGCAAAAAUGAAUGAGGUAGACGUGUUGUGCCUAUUCAAUGAGGCGCAGCAGGCACUAAAUCGGGUAAGGCAUCAUUAUGCUCUUUCGACCUUUGACUUAGUCCUUGAUAUUUCUCAUGUCUUCUUUCUUUUACCCUUUUGCGGGCCUUGGUACUCCAUCUCGAAAGCAUUAUUCGGUACCGGAUUUAGGUUAACCAGCUCGAGGCUGAGGAUAAGGAGUUUUUCGAGAAGAGAGACAUGUAUAAGCUUCUCAGCGAGCAACAUGAAGGGGUCGUCAAGAACCUCCAAGCCGAGCUAGAUGCGGCUCUGAAGGAGCAUGCCGACUUGGUGGAAAAGGUAAAGGGUUUUGAAGUUAGCAAUGAAUACUUAGCCAUGGAGACUAAUGACCAAACCUCACAGGUUCAGCAGAAUAUUGACCGGAUUGACCAACUCUGAGCUGAAAUGAUUGAGGUCCAUGCCAUGGCCGAUAUUGAAAGAGCAAAAUGGACCGACUGGCUUUAGAGAAGGAGACCGCCCAGGCACAACUAGCAUCGGUGGAGGUUCAACUCCGAGUGGCGAAAGAGAAAGCCGAUGCUCGGGCUCGACAAAACGAGCACCUUCAAAAUCAACUGGGUUCGGCUAUUGCCGAACGGGAUGCCCUUGGCAAGGAGCUCAAAAUGGAGAGGUCUAAGUCGGAAGCAACCUUGGAUGAUGCUGAAGAGAUGGUGGCCUAGUAUAUAGCUGAUGUUGAAGUAGCCGAGGCUCUCCUGAAGACUACUCUUGAGUACGUAAGGUGGCUAUCCCGAAGGGAGACCCUUGAGGAGAUCCAUGCCAGAGGCUUCGACUUGUCAGCCGAGAUCGAGGAGGCGAAAAUACUUGAGGUCAUGGCCAAGAAGCUAGCUGAACCCGACAAUGAAGAAGGCUCCAAGGGCUCCGAAGAACCCGAAGAUGAAGAAGGCCCCGGCGUCUCUAGUGACGAGUCAGGUCCUGGUGAAGAUCAGGCGUAGAGGCCUUAGAAUUGUUUUUGUCUUUGUUUUUGUAUCGUGCACGUUUAUUUUGUUGAGGCCGUUUUCAUUGGCCUUUGUAAAUAAAUUCCGGAAUGUAUAUUAAGUUUUUUCCCUUUUGGCAAUUUUGAAGUUUAUUAUUUUUGGCAUCCUAAUUGCAAAGAUUUCAAAUGUCUUAGCACUAAAUCAAAAGUGGUAAAAAGUCAUUUUUCGGAGGUCCGAACAAGAAUCGCCCUUAAUACAAGUUUUGCUUGAAACUUAUGGGGGCUCGGAGUGACAGAAAUCUUUCCCCAAGAUGCUCGUUUAAAUAUUUUUAGACUAUAUCUUUGCCAUGGGUAACCUUUGAACAGGAUUGAAAUUUUGUUGAAGGCCUUAUGUUUUGAUAAUCGGAUUCAGACGUCUCCAAAUUGUUUUUAGGGUGGUCGUAGCCUUAUAUGUUUGGGCACUGCCUAAUAGGUUUUGUGCCUCCGGAUUUUGAUAACCCAAGCCGUCCGAACUUAUCAAGGAUGGAAGUCCCCGAGUGGGGUUAGCCCUUUGGGCUCAGACAGGGGUGACCCUUACGCUCGAUAGUUCUCAGGUAGGAAUAGCCCUGAGGCUCGAUACUUUUAAGAAGCAAAGAGUGUUUAUUAGCAAGGUAGAAACUUUCUUUCAUUUCUAUGUGUAACGUACAAGAUUGUAUAAAAGCUCGUAUUGUGGCUGGGGUGACCUAUGCGGGCACAGUUUAUUUGACCAUUUGUCUCUUACAAUGAAUCCUAACCACCGAGCCAAGACUAUUCUAGCACAGAGUUUCCUUCCUUCUUUGAGUGGACUAGAUACUAUUGAUGUUACCACUGACUCUGAUUUAAAAUCGGUCUUCGACUCUACGUUAGCACAAUUUAUUGUUGCCUCAUUACAAACCUUGCCGGAAAACUCAUUCGGGAUAAAACCAGUUCAAGGAAAAAAGAGUGAAACGCAUGCUUUCAGGCCUAAUCAACUACUUUCUCCUUUGGUUGUUGCCUGCAAGUGUUAACCAAAAUUAAAUAAAAUAAAAUGAAUGAUGGUGUACCUUAGUAGUAGUAUCAUUUUAAGUGGGUCACGUUCCAGUUGUUUGAUAGUUGUAUGUCGUUUUCGGCUUCAGGUUUUUACGAACAUUUACCGAUAAUCCUGAUAACUCGAUACGGACCUUCCCAGUUCAAUCCUAGCUUCCAUUCAUUCGGGUUCUGCGUGCUCUACGUUACUCUUCUUAAUACCAAGUCACAGAUGUUGAAGUGCUAUUUGGUUGUAAUAUCUUUCUAUUCUCUAUUUUUGGGUGGCCAGCCGGACUAGAGCGGCCUCGUGCCUCUCAUCCAGUUAUUCUAGGCUCGUGCUUAUGGCUUCGCUAUUUGAUUCUUCGGUUGCAUAUCAGAACCUGAGGCUCGGUUCUCCUACCUCGACCGGUAUUAGUACUUCGAUAUCGAAGACCAAUGAAGAUGGGAUGGCCCCGGUAUUGGAUUUUGAGGUCGUGCGAUAUGCCCGCAAGACUUCGGGAAGGAUUUUCUUCCAUUUUCAUUUGGCAUCGGUCAACCUUUUCUUAAGGUUUUGAAGGAUUGUUUUGUUUGUCAACUCUGCCUUCCCGUUCCCACUAGGGUGAUAGGGUGUUGACAAGAUCUUCUUAAUCUUAUGGUCCUCGAAAAAUUUGUUGUCCUUGUUGUCGAUGAACUGCUUCACGUUAUCACAUAGUAUCUCGGCCGGUAUACCGAAUCGGCAUAUUAUGUGGUCCCAAAUUAAGUCGGUGACUUCUUUUUCCCGUGCCUUCUCGAACGCCUGAGCUUCAACCCAUUUAGAGAACUAAUCAGUCAUAAAUAGCAUAAAUUGAGCCUUACCGGGUGCCCAUGGCAGGGGACCAACGAUGUCCAUUCCCUAUUUCAUGAACGGCUAGGGCGACAUGACUGAGUGUAGUAACUCCACAGGUUGGUGAAUCAUUUGCGCAUGCCUCUGACAGCCAUCGCAUUUUCGCACGAAGUCCUUCACAUCUUUCUCCAUGUCGACCCAGUAAUAGCCGGCUCUGAUUAUCUUACGAACCAAUGAUUCUGCCGCCGAAUGGUUUCCGCAGGUGCCUUCGUGGACUUCCCUCAAAAUUUAUUCGGUGUCUCCCAGUCCCAAGCAUAUGGCGAGUGGGCCAUCGAAAGUUCUUCUUAACAGAGUACUAUCUUCAGACAGGCUAAACCUAGCCACCUUCAUGCGCAGAGCUCUCAAUUCUUUAGGAUCCAAGGGUAGCUUCCCGGUCUUCAGUUAGUCUAUAUACUUGUCUCUAUAGUCCCGGGUUAAACUUGUUGAAUUUAUCUCAGCGCGGCCUUCUUCUACUACCGAUUACAUGAGUUGUACGACCGUCCCCGAAUUGAAUUCAUCGUCAUCCACCGACGAACCCAAGUUAGCCAGAGCAUUGGUCUCGCUAUUUUGAUCCCAGGGCACGUGUUGUAGUGUCCAUUCCAUGAAUCAUUAUAGUGUUACAUGUAGUUUAUCCAAGUAUCUUUGAAUUCAUUCCACUUUUACUUCGAAUGUCCCAUUGACUUGAUUUACCACAACGAGGGAAUCAUAUUUAGCUUCGAUCACUUCGGCCCCUAGGCUUUUAGCCAAUUCGAUACCUGCAAUCAUGGCCUCAUACUCGACCUCAUUGUUAGUCAAUUUCACAGUUCUAAUAGAUUGUCUAACUACGUUACCUGUGGGUGGCUUCAAUAUGAUGCCAAGUCCGAACCCUUAUGCAUUUGAGACACCGUCCGUAAAGAGGGUCUAGAUCCCCGAGGGAGUUCUCGAGUUCAACAACAAUUCCCUUUCGACUUCGGGUAUUAGGGUUGGUGUGAAGUCGGCCACGAAGUCUGCCAAAAUUUGAGAUUUGAUGGAUGUUCGUGGUCGAUAUUCGAUAUCGUACCCGCUAAUAUCUAUGGCCCAUUUGUCCAAUCAUCCCGAGAGCUUGGGUUUUUGCAUAAUGUUUCUCAAUGGGUAAGUACUUACGACACAUAUGGGAUGGCAUUGAAAAUAUGGUACUAACUUCCUAGAGGCACUUAGGAAAGCGAGCGCCAAUAUCUCCAAGUGAGGAUACCUUGUUUCGGCCUCGCCUAGUGUCCUACUAACAUAAUAGAUAGGAAAUUGCGUACCUUCUUCUUCCUCUUCAACUAUGAAAUCACCCAACUCAGAACAUAAUCUAGGGAACCUCUCCACACAACCCUAAGCAACCCUAGCAUCGCCAACAUCACGGUCUUAGCAUGACAAUCAAGAAUAGUGUGACAUGGAGACAACCAAUCCAUGACCAAAAUCAUGUCAUAAUUAACCAUGCUAAGCAAUAAAAGAUCAACUCUCUUCUCAUAACCCCCAAUAGUCACCAUACACUGUCCACAAUAAUAGUAUCACCCAUCGGUGUAGAUACACGAACAAGCAUAACUAAAGAAUCACAAGGCAUAUCUAAAUAACGAGCAAAGUAUGAUGACACAUAUGAAUAAGGGGAACCAGGAUCAAAUAACACUAAUGUAUGCCUAUGGCACACUGAAGCAAUAUAUGUGAUCAUGACGUGGGAAGCAACUGCCUUUGGCCUGGUGGGAAAUGAAUAAAAACCGGUCUGACCACUGCCUUAACGACCUCCCCCUCUAGGGCGACCUCGUACUGACUGAGCCCCACCCCGAGCUGGUUGUGCGGGUGGUGUAGUAGCUGGUGCUGACAUCAUAGGAUGAGAGCUCUAUUGUGGGACCCUACUCAACUGUCUGAGGCAAUCCCUUUAGAGAUGACUCAAGUCUCCACACUCAAAACAACCCCUUCUGUAAGGCUACUGACCCUGAUAACUCGAAGAACUGCUUAUGGAAACCUGAGCAGAUGGAGUAUGAUAAGAAUUCUGUGCCAGUAGCGCACUGAAUGAUGACUAAGUUGGGCGUGCAUUGUAAGAACUGUAGCUAGCUGAAGAUCCACGGGGAGCAUGAUGAGCUGCUUGAAUGGGUCUAGAAGGAUGACCUCUGCCAUAAUGGGACUGGCCUCUAGUUGAGGCACUGCUGAAACUACCUAAAACACGAGGCCUCUUGGCCUCACGCUCAAGCUUGUAAACCUGCUCCAACCGUGUAGCAAUCUCGACAACCAGGUCAAACCUACCAUCCGUUGCAACCUCUCGAUCCAUAAUAUAACCUAAACAAUAGUUAAAUCCAUCAAUGAACCUCCUAAUCUUCUCCCUCUCAGUGGGAACUAACCAUAUAGCAUGUUGUGCAAAAUCUGCAAAUCUCAUCUCGUACUGUAUCACAGUCAUACCCUCCCGGUGUAGAUUCUCAAUCUCCCUAUGCAACUCCUCUCUACAAGUCUAUGGAACAAACUUCUCUAAAAUGAGAACUGAGAACUCAUGCCAUGUAAGUGGCACUACGCCAACUGGCAUGCCUAGGUCAUAAGUCUAUCACCAUCUAUAGGUUGUCCCUGUCAGCUGAAAAGUUGUAAAGGCAACCCCAUAAGUAUCCAAACUACCCGUUGUGCGAAGAAUCAACUGACAUCAGUUUAGAAAAUCCUAAGCAUCCUCUGACUCCCCUCCCCCCUGCUAAACUCUGGUGGCUUAAGCCUCCCAAACCGCUCCAACCUCUUCUGCUCCUCAUCACUCAACAACCGGCUGAACUGGUAACACCCCCUGUGUCUGAUGGUGUUGAGUUUGCUGCUCUUGAGUAUCGGCAGUAGGAGUCUGGGCACCUCCCCCAGUUUGUGAGGUAGCUGGUGCAACUGGAAUUGAAAUCGCUUGAGUGAGGCUCGUCCACAUAGUCAAAAUUUAAGCCAAGGCCUCUUGAAGGUUAGGAACAACAAUAGGCACAAUUGGUGACUGAGCUGGGCCCACAAACUCAGUAGUAUCUAUAACCUGGUCCACAACUUGAGCAAUUGGUGGCUCCAUAUGAGUUGCUCUGGCUAUAGAGUGAGACCCACCUUGGCCUCUACCGCGACCUCGGCCUCUCACAGCCCUAACUGGUGGUACUAAUGCAUGUCCUCCUGAUUCAACUGCACGUGUCCUCAACAUCUGUCAGAGAAUAGAAGAGUGAAUGUUCAAACUUUGGAAAUAACAAAUCUGCACAACAGGAAUGCAAGAAAGUGAAAUUUUUCCUAACAAUUAGGUAGACUCUCGAAGAUAAGUACAGUCGUCUCUAUACAGAUCCGCAAGACUCUACUAAACUUACUCAUGACCCGUUAUACCUAUGAAUCUCGGACUCUGAUACCAACUUAUCAUGACCCAAUAUCCCAACCCACAGUGAUGGUGCCUAACACACUUGCUAGGCAAGCUGGAUAUAACCAUAAUGAACAAAGAUAGUAGAAAUAAUAGAAUUAACAUAAGUCUAAAACCUUAACAUAAGUUAAUAAUACCAAUACAUGAUAAAUCCCCCGGAACUUGUAAACACAGAUUCAUGAGCUCUAAAUGGGAAAUACAAGUCUGAAAGCUAUAUAACAACACUAUCUGAAGACAACAGUACAAUGUGGAAAGAGACGCCAUGACUGCGGUCGAGGAAGCAACUCUACCUCGUCUCUCGAUGACCAACUCGACUAGCAAACUCUGUUACUGGUGACUGGGUUCGACACCUGGAUCUGCACAAUUAAGUGCAGAGUGUAGCAUGAGUACAACCGAAUAAACCUCUGUGAGUUAAAAAAAGCAAGAAUUAUAAAUGAUACUAGCUAUAACAUGUACAGUUCAUAAAUUUAACAACUACAAAAUAGUGAUAUGACCAAAUCAUGUAAACACGAAUAAACCACCUUGGUGCCCACAAUUAUACAUGUACUCUUCUCAGUCAACGAUCCAACAUAUAAGCAUGAUAUGCAAGUAAAUCAGUUAACUAAUCAUGGAAAUUGUAAGUAAAGAUGAAAUGCAAUAACAAAGUAACACUGGACAUAUUUUCCUCAGAAUUUCCAAUACACUACCAAACAACUUAUCAAUUUUUCCUAAUCAUCAAGAGAGAAACAUGAGAGGGUGGACCUAGGGGGAUGAAUUCAUAUCCACACGCAACAUGCAUAAUUUAACGUGGUAUCAGCCCAUCGUGGUCACAUGCUUAAUAUCAUAAUCCACCCUGCGUGGUCACAAGCUAUAUCUCAAUUCGCCUGGUGUGGUCACAUGCAUAACAACGUAAUCCGCUAAGUGCUGUCACAGGCAUAACAACACAAUCUGCCCGACACGGUUGCAGGCAUACAACACAAUCCGCCUGACGUGGUCACACGCAUAACAACACAAUGUGCCCGGCAUGGUCAUAGGCAUCCAGUCCAGAUCAUAUCACACAGAAGCAAAUAUACAAGAAUACAUGUGUAUGAUCAAUGAAUAUUGGAUUUCAUGCUCCUGGACUGGUAUAAGUGACUUGCUAAAGUGCAUGCAUGUGCAACGUAUACUAUCAUAGCUCAAAUCAGCAAUUUGAUCACGAAUAUAGCAAAUAUCAAGUUAAAUAAGGAGAUUAGCCGCUCAGUAAUCUCAAAAUAUGGAUCAAAUAGCUCACAAUAGGGUACAUCUAUGAGAAAAAUCACAGCUUAAUGCUUAAUUAUCAACUCAAGAUAUAUCAUAGCCUAAGCACUACCCCGGUCAUGUAUAAAUAAAUUGGAGCUUGCACAUGGACUCUAUCCCCACACACAUGCGCACCCAUAACAUGUAUCUAUGAUAAAUAAUUUAGGAAACUAGUGCCUCAACCAAGUUUAGGUAAGAUACUUACCUCAAGCAAGUCAAAUCACUCCGCUAACAAGUCCUUCCUGCAUGUAUCAACCUCUGUACAUCUCGCAUCUAGCCAAAAAAACUUAAUAUAAUCAAUAAAAACCAAGGAAUUGAUUCAAUGUGAUAAAGCUAAGAUCUUAAACUAAAAUCAAAAAGUCAAUCCAAAAAUCCAACCUCGAGAUCGCAUCUCGAAACCCGACCAAACUCAUAAAAUUUUGAACAUCAUUCAAUUACGUGUCCAACCGUACAAAUUUCAUCCAAUUCCAACCACAAAUCGACCCUCAAAUCAUCAAAUCUCACUCUCUAAUAACAUAGUCGAAAAAUCCCCAAAUUUCACCUUAUAUUCAUAUAGACUAGGUGUAAUAAUCAAUAGGUAAUCAAUAUUUAUCAUCAAAUGUGAUUAGACUUCACUUAUGUCAUCAAUUAUGGUGAAACGAACUCCAAAAAUUGCCCUUAGACGAUCUCCAAAAAUUCAAAAUGAGAAGAAUUCUUCGACAUAUGUAAUCUGUGCAGCAAAACCGCAUAUGCGGUCAAAAUAAUCGUACAUGUGAUGCUGUAAUUGCGGAAAAUCCAUCACAGAUACGGAAAUUCAUUAAUCGUCGAUCGUCCUCUUCUACGAAUCAACCCUCGCACAUGCGAAAGCGCAUAUGUGCUCCUUCAUCCGCUUAUGCGGACUUCCCCACCCAACUCAAUGUCCGCACCUGCGCGCACCUUGUCACACAUGCGUAUCCGCACUUGCACUCCGUGGUCCGCAUCUACGAUCUCGCAAAUGUAGAAAUUCCCCCGAACCUGCGCUCCAAAACAGUCUCUACAUUUCCUCGCACCUGCGCACAAAUGGAUGCUCCUGCAGCUUCGCAUGCGUAAACAACACAAAUCAGGUUUCUUCAAUAGUCUCACUAAGUCCACAAUUGAUCUGAUCUCAUCCCGAAACAUACCCGAGGCCCCCUGAAACUCCAACCAAACAUACCAAAAAGUCCGAAAAAACAAUAUGAACUUACUCGCUGCCUCAAAUCACAUCAAUCAACACCAAAAUCAUGAAUCUUACCCCCCAAUUCAAGCCUAAUGAAACUAAUGAACUUUCAAAUUCCAAAACUCAUGGCGAACCAUAUCAAAUCAACUCCGAAUGACCUCAAAUGUUUCAUGCAAGUCCCAAAUGACACAGCGGACCUAUUCUAACUUUUGAAACCAAAAUCCAAACCCGAUAUUAAUAAAGUCAAACUCCCGGUCAAACCUUUCACCCUUUUAAACCUACAACUUUCCUACUUUCGCCAAAGAGAACCAAAUCAAGAUACGAGCCUCCAAAUCAACAUCCGGACAUACCCCGAAGUAUAAAUUCACAAUACGAAGCUAUUGGAACUAUCAAAACUGCAUUCAAGAGUCAUCCACACAACAGUCAAACUCUGGUAAACUCUUUCAAAUGAAGCUUCCAACCUUGGGACUAAGUAUCCCAAUGCACUCCAAGACCUUCCCAAAAUCAAUUCAACCACCCGGACAAGUCAUAUAACCACAAAUGAACAUAGAAUAGGCAAUAAAUAGGGGAACGGGGCUACAAUACACAAAAUGACCGUCCUGGUCAUUACACAAGUAAAUGCAUACAUCGAAUCAUUGUAUAAAGUAAAUGGUAGCAGGUAAAAAAUAUAGACAAUUAGAAAGUGUAAGCAUAUAUAUAUAUAUAACGUAAGACAUGUUUCAAGUUAGGGAACAUAGUAAGGGAAAACACAAAAUAAGAAAAGAUGUAGUACAAUUCAUGGCAUGAAGUAAGCUAGAACACCCUGCAUGCUUAUAAUGCGCUCAACCCCCUAGCCUCAAAUGUGCUCAAUCCUCCUGGCGAUAUCCAUUACCUGAGCAAACUAAAUCUCAGUCUCUACCUCUCUAACCAUUUGAAGUCUGAUGCCAUAUGUAAGACCCUCUAUGAACCUCCUCACAUUCUCCGUCUUAGUUGGGAUCAGGAUAACUGCAUGGCGAGACAAAUCAACAAAUCUAGUCUUAUAUUGAGUAAUGGUCUUGAUACCCCGCUGAAGGCGCCCAAACUGGCUACGUAGAUAAUCUGUUUAAGUGAGGGGAAUAAACUUCUCCAAGAACAACUGAGAAAAUCGAGCCCAUGUGAAAGGAGGUGAUCUUGCUGGUCUACCUAGGUCAUAACCUGCCACCACCUCUUGGCUGACCCAUGCAUCGGAAAGACGGUGAAAUCCACUCCAUUAGACUCAACUAGUCCCAGGUUACACAAAAUCUCAUGGAAACGAUCCAAGAAGUCCUUGGCAUCCUCUAAAGAUCUAUCGCUAUAAUGCCCUGGCCGAUCGUUUUGUGUAUUUGAGACAUGUUCCCCUAUUUGAUGUUUUUGUAUGUUUGUUUGUGGUUUUUUGACUUGCGGGGUUGAUUGGUUUGGCUUUGGGAAGGUUUGUUAGUGAUUUGGAACACUUAGUGUUAUCUAUGGAAGCAUAAAUUAUAAGAGUCGAUCAAGGUUUGACUUUUGUAUAAUGACCUUGGAAUGGUGUUUUGAUGGUUCCUCUAGGAUCAAUUCUCUCAACCCAUCAAUGUUUGGAACACAAAUCCGGCAUUGAAGCCGCAUAACACCUUUAUCUCCAAUCACAACCUCCUUAGCAUCACCUCAUUUCACUGUGUCUUUCAACACCAACAAGUGAGGAUCAUCAAACUGGCGAGCCUUGAUACGCUCCAACAACUAUGAAUGUGUCACAACACAAGCAAUAACCCGACUAGGAUCUAAAACAUUUAAUCUCACAAAUUGAUAGGUCAUGGCCUGAACAUCCAUAGCCAGUGGCCUCUCCACUACCGGUAUGUAUGCCAAACUACCCAUGCUCUUAGCCUUCAUAAUCAAUGAAUUGGCCACUACAUUGGCCUUCCACUAAUGAUAUAAUAUGGUGAUAUCAUAGUUUUUCAACAACUCUAGCCAUCUCCACUACCGCAAAUUAAGAUAUUUCUGCUUGAACAGGUGCUGGAGACUCUGAUGUUUGGUAUAGACCUCACAUGGAAUGUAGUAUAGAUAGUGCCUCCAAAUCUUCAGCGCGUGAAUCAUGGCUUCCAACGCUAAAUCUUGCACUAGGCUAUUCUUCUCAUGAACCCUCAACUGUCGAGACACUUAGGCAAUCACCCUACCAUCCUGCAUCAAUACCGCACCAAACCUAAUAAAUGAUGCAUCACAACACACGGUGUAAGAUCCCGAACAUGUAGGUGACACAAACAAUGGGUUCUACUCAAUGCAGUAUUGAGCUUCUGAAAGCUCAACUCACACUCGUUAGACCAUCUCAAAAGAGCACCCUUUUGGGUCAACUUGAUCAAUGACGAUGAGAUAGGUAAAAACCACUCCACGAGCUCGCGAUAAUAACCCGCCAAACCCAAGAACCUCCAAAUCUAUGUAGCUAAAGUAGGUCUAGGAUAGUUCUAAACUACCUCAAUCUUCUUAGGAUCCACUUUAAUGCCUUCGAAAGACACAACAUGGCCCAAAAGGAAACUGAUUCCAACCAAAAGUCACAUUUUGAAAACUUGGCAUAAACCUGACGAUUCCUGAAAGUCUGAAGUGCGAUGAACAGAUGUUGCUCAUGCUCCUCUCGACUGCAGGAGUAAACCAAAAUAUCAUCAAUGAAAAAGAUCACAAAAGACUCCAAAUAGGGCUUGAACACCUUGUUCAUCAAAUCCAUAAAGGCUGAUGGGAUAUUAAUCAAGCCAAACGACAUCACCAUAUACUCGUAGGGACCAUACCGAGUAUGCAAAGCUGUCCUAGGGACAUCCGAUGCCUUAAUCAUCAACUGACUGUAGCCAGAUCUCAAGUAAAUCUUCGAAAAAACCUUGGCACCUGAAGCUGAUCAAAUAAGUCAUCAAUCAUCAGCAACAGAUACUUUUUUAGAUAGUGACUUCAUUUAGCUGCUUGUAAUCUAUACACGUUCUCAUCAUCCCAUCCAUCUUCGUCACAAACAACACCGGUGCACCUCAAGGCGAGACACUCAAUCUAAUGAAUUCUUUAUCAAGCAAAUCCUGCAACUGCUCCUUCAUUUCAUUCAACCCAACUGCGGCCAUAUGGUAUGGUAUGGUAGAAAUAGGCUGAGUGCCUAGAACCAUAUCAAUGCAGAAGUCGAUAUCUCUAUCGGGUGGUAUCCCCGACAAAUUUGUGAAAACACCUCUAGCAAAUCGCACACAAUUGGUAUCGAAUCCAUGGAAGGAACCUCCGUACUAGGAUCACAUAUAUAGGCCAAAUAUGUUAGACAUCCCUUCUUGACCAUAUAUCAAGCCUUCACAUAUGAAAUGACCCUACAAGUAGAAUGGUCAGACAUCCCUCUCAACUCUAAUUGAGGCGACCCCAGCAUGGCUAAUGUCAUAGUCUUUGCUUGAUAGUCCAAAACAGCAUGAUAAGGUAAAAACUAUUCAAUGCCAAACAUCACAUCAAAAUCCACCAUAUCAAGGAAUAUAAGGUCUACCCUAGCCACAUAACUCCUAAUACUAAUCAAACAAGCAUGGUAUACCCGGCCUACCACAAUAUAAUAUUCGCCAGGAGUUGACAUAUAAAGAGGGGCACUCAAAAAAUCGCGAGAAAUAUCUAAAUAUAAAGCAAAAUAGGAUGACACAUAUGAAUAAGUGGAACCCGGAUCAAAUAGAAUUGAUGCAUCUUUAUAGAAAACUCGAAUAUUACAUAUGAUGACGUAUCCGACGACUCUACCUCAAGUCUAGCUUGGAAUGCAUAAAAAUGAGGCUGAGCCCCACCGCUCUGACCCCCGCCUCUCAGACAGCCUCUAACUGGCUGACCACCACCUCUAACUGCCUGGCCACCACCUCUAGCUGCCUGACCCCACCUCUAGCUGCCUGAGCGAGUAGUGUUGCAACUUGUGCCAGAAUCAUGGCAUGAGUACCCUAUUGUUCUCUGCUGCUCCUCAAUCUGGGAUCCUACCACACGAUAUAACAUGCGUCGCCACACUGAAAGCAACCCCGCGGCUGGCCUAACUACUGAGUCUGAGAUGAUCCCUGAUUACCCGAAUGACCACUGUAGUAACUAGUAUCAUAGAUGAUUAUCCUUGAAGAGGCUAUCACCUUAGGAAAAGAUCAAGAUGAGUGCACCAACAGGAAAUUGGGAAGGGAAAUCCACUACUAGGUUACAACUCUUCAAUGGCCAGUGCUACUCUUGGUGGAAAACAAGGAUGAGAGACCACUUGUAGGUAGAAGAUUACGAGCUAUGGGAUAUAAUCAUUAAUGGUCCAUAGCCAACACUGAAUAAAAAUGGUGAAGGUGACGAUGUUCCAAAGACAAGAGCUGACUACACUGGCGAGGACUUGAUGUAAUGGGAGAAGAAUGCUAAAGCCAAGAAAUGGCUUAUCUGUGGACUUGGUCAAGGUAAGUAUAGGAGAAUCAAAGGCUACUUCACUACCAAACAAAUAUGGGACAUACUGCAAGUGGCUCAUGAAGGAACAACUCAGGCAAAAAGAUCAAUAGGAACCUUGUUGUUUUCCCAAUAUGAAAACUUUUCCAUGAGAGAUACAGAAACCAUUCAGGAGAUGUACACAAGGUUCACUACCUUGACAAAUGAACUAAAGUCUCUUAGAAGGAUUAUACCCAAAGAAGAAAGGGUUAGGAAGAUUGUAACUAGGGUUAUACCAAUCACUUCGGAAAGAAAGAUCACUACUAUUCAGGAAUAAAAGAACAUUGCUACACUUCCUUUGAAUGUGUUGAUUAGAAAUCUCAAAGCUUAUGAACUUAGAAGGCAAACUAUGAACAUGAAUGUACCUAAGAAGGAAAGGAGUCUGGCACACAUAAUCACUGAAGUUUCUGAUUUAGAAGAUGAUGAAAUGGCAAUGAUUACCAAAAACUUCAAGAAGUACCUAAGGAUAGGAAAGGGUUCUUCAAGAAAUGGAAGCUACAGCAAGGCCAAAGUUCCAAAGAAGCAGGUAAAUGACGAAUGCUAUAAAUGUGGUAAGCUUGAUCACAUAAUCAAGAACUGUCCCUUGUGGGAAAUUGAAUGGAAAAAGGAAAGAGCUGAAUGAAGAAAUAGGAAGAAGGAGCAGGUUCAUCCCAAGAAAGGCAACAACAAAGGAUAAACCAAGGAAAUGGUUGCUGCUUGGGGAGAUAUCUCAAAUGAGAGCUCAGAUGAUGAUGGACGAGCUCUAAUGUCUAUUGGAGAAUCUGUGGAAAAACUUGAGGUAAGUAUGUUUCAAUCAAAAGGUAAGAUUAAGUUUUUGUCUAAAGAAAGAUUAUCUGAAUUACUACUAGAACUAAUUGAUGAGUCUGGAGAAGUUAAUAAUGAAAAGGAACUGUUGUCAAAUGAGUGUUUCAUUUUGAAAGCAAACGGAAAAAAUCUGGAAUUAGGGCUUACGAAACUGAAAAUGAAAAUGUUGUGUUGAAGAACGAGAUUCAUGCACUUCACACAUCUGUUCUAGAACUUAGAUAUGAAAUCUGAAAUUGAAGUUGGGAACAGGUAAAGAAAUACCUAGUGACACACAACUCACACUAGAAGGAGAAUUUGGAAAGGUAAAAGAUAAGGUUAUAUAAAAGAGAUGAACAUGUAAGAAUUUUGAAAGAGGACUUGACUAAGGUUAAGAAUGAGCUAGAUAGAAUAUGUAAAUGGAACCGGUCCUCUGAUGCACUGUCAUGACUAUAAGAACACCAUAGUAACAACAGAAGGAGACUUGGCUUUGAGAGCACUGCACCUAAAUGCGAUCCAAAAAUCAAGUACCUCACACUCCUUGAGAAUAAUAUUUGUACUCACUCUGGUAACACUGGUCACUAUAAGACUAAAUGUGCUACAAAAGAAAAGGCAAGUCUAAAGAACAAAAUAACUGUUCUAGUGAAAAAUAGGCUGCCAAGUUGGGCAAAGAAGAAUAUGAUUUAUCUUUUUGCCUAUAGAAAUUGACGCAAACUAAUUUGGGUUCCUAAGACUAACCCCUGAUUUCCUUUUGCAGGUCCCAGUGAAGGAGAGUAUCCAAAUAUGGUACAUGGAUAGUGGUUGCUUAAAGCACAUGACAGGAAUUAAGAACUAGUUCCUUUCACUUGCGGACCUUAAAGGAUGUAAUGUCUCCUUUGAAAGUGGAAAGAAAUAUUCGAUCAUUGGAGUUGGGAAGGUAGGUAAAUUUGACUCUCAAUCCAUUGAGAAUGUCUACCUGAUAGUUGAACUGAAAUAUAGCUUGAUAAGUGUAUCACAACUAUGUGAUAGAGGAAACAUGGUAGCCUUCACCUCUACAAAGUGCUUUAUGAUAAAUCUUACCACUGACAAAAAAGUAUUGCGGGUAAAAAGAGUAAACAACAUAUAUGUGGUGGAUCGUUCCACGCUUUCACUUGAUUAAGUGUGUUGGACAAUGAUCCCCUCCUAUUGCAUAAGAGACUUGGACAGGCAAGUCUGAGUAAAUGCAACAAAUUAGUCUCUAAAGACUCAGUGAUAGGGCUGCCUAACAUUAAGUUCAAGGAAGAUAAAAUUUGUGAGGCUUGUGAAAGGGGGAAGCAUGUAAGAUCAUCGUUUAAAAGUAAGAAAAUGGUAAGUACUACCAGGUCGAUGGAAAUGGUCCAUAUGGAUCUGUAUGGACCAAUGAGGACAAUAAGAAGAGGUGGUAAUAGAUAAAUUAUGGUGUUGUUGAUGAUUAUUCUAGGUUUACUUGGACAAUGUUUUUAACAUCUAAAGAUGAACCAUUUGACAUGUUUACUUCAUUUGUUAGAAAAACUCAUAAACAACUAGGUAAUUAACUUGCAUCAAUUAGGUCUGAUCAUGGUACAGAGUUUGAGACUGCAAAAUUUAAUAAAUUUUUUGAUAAAUCAUGGCAUAAAUCAUAAUUUCUCUGCUCCUAGAACUCCACAAUAAAAUGAAGUAUUUGAUAGAAAGAAUAUGACAUUGGAAGAAAUGGCUAGAACCAUGUUACUUGCUAGUAAGCUGCCCCACAGUUUCUAGGCAGAAGUUGUGAACACUGCAUGCUACAUCAUAAAUAGGUGCAUGACUCGACCUCUUAUUGAGAAAACAUCCGAUGAGUUACUUAAUGGGAGAAAGCCUAAUAUAUCUCAUCUUGGGGCAUUUGGAUGCAAGUGCUUUGUGCACAGUAAUGGAAAGGACUCCAUAGGAAAGUUUGAUCCCAGAAGUAAUGAGGGAGUAUUCUUGAGAUAUUCUUCACAUAGUAAAGCUUAUAAGAUAUACAAUAAAAGUACUAUGUGCGUAGACGAAAGUGUACAUGUUGUUUUUUAUGACACUAACAUUCUUUCUGAGAGGCAGGAACAAGAUGAUGAAGAGAUUAGGUUGACAAGAAAUUAAACUAAUGAAACCACAGUCCAAUAUGAAGCUUUAUCAUAGGAAGGAGCAUGUGAUGGAACAGGUGAUGGAAUAGGUCAUUCCACCUAGGGAAACCUGACCAGGGGAACUGACCAAAGAGGAACUGAUCCUUGAGCCUUGAGGGAACCUAUCCAUGAACAUGUUCUUCAGCAACAAAACAAUGAAGGAACAUCUGGAAAAACCAGUUGAUUGUGAAACCUUACAAGUAUCAAAUUUCUCACCCUAUAGGGAACAUAAUCACUGAUCCAACCUCUAGAAUCAAAACCAGAUCUUCUUUAAAGAUUCUUUGUGCCUUUGAUGCUUUUUUACUUAUUGAAACUAGAAAUAUUUUUGAGGCUUUACAUGAUAUAGAUUGGGUGAAUGCAAGACAAGAUGAACUCAACCAAUUUCAGAGAAGUCAAGUUUGGCAUCUGGUACCAAGACCCAAGGAAAGAACAAUGAUUGGCACUAAAUAGUUCUUCAAAAACAAACUUGAUGAAGAAGGAACAAUUACAAGGAACAAAGCAAUAUUGGUGGUUCAAGGAUAUAGUCAAGAGGAGGGCAUAGAUUAUGAUGAGACUUUUGCUCUAGUUGCAAGAUAUGAAGCAAUUAGACUCCUAUAGCCUUUGCUGCUUACAUGGAAUUCACUCUUCAUUAUAUGGAUGUCAAGAGUGCCUUCCUCAAUGGAUAUCUAAAGGAAGAAUUAUUUGUCAAGCAACCUCCUGGCUUUGAAAGUAAGGAAUGUCCUGAGCAUGUGUACAAACUUGACAAGGUUAUUUAUGGGCUCAAAUAGGCUCCAAGAGCAUGGUAUGAAAGAUUGUCCAAAUAUUUUCUUAAGCAUGGCUAUAAGAGAGGUAAAAUUGAUAACACUUUAUUCUUGAAAGAAAAAGGUAAAGAUCUUUUGGUAGUACAGAUAUAUAUUGAUGAUAUAAUCUUUAGAGUAACUACUGAUGGGUUAAGUAAAUAGUUUGUUAAGCUAAUGGGGAGGGAAUCUGAAAUUAGUAUAAUGGGUGAGAUUAAUGUCUUUUUAGGCCUACAAAAUUAAGAAAAAUUCAAAUGGAACAAUGAUCCAUCAGCAAGCAUAUGUGAAAGAGUUCUCAAAAUGUUUAAGAUGGAAGAUUCCAAAGAAACUGACAUUCCUAUAGCAACAACCACGAAGUUGGAUUUAGAUGAACCUGGUUCAUGGAUUGAUAAGAAAAUGUAUAGGGGAAAGAUUGGAUCUUUAUUAUAUCUCACUACUAGUAGACCUGGAAUUAUUUUCAGUGUAGGCCUUUGUGCUAGAUUUCAGGCAAAUCCAAAGGAGUCUCACUUGAAGGUUGCCAAGAGGAUCUUGAGAUACUUAAAAGGCACAACGGAUCUUUGCCUAUGGUAUCCAAAAGGUAAUAAUUUUGAUUUAGUGGGAUAUGUUGAUGCUGAUUAUACAAGUUUUCUUAUGGAUAGAAAGAGUACUUACGGUAUGUCACACUUUCUUGGCUUAUGUCCAGUGCCUUAGGACACCAAAAAGCAAAAUUAUGUGACUUUAUCUACUAUUGAAGCUGAGUAGGUGGUUGUUGCCUCAUGUUGUGCUCAAAUACUGUGGAAUAAACAACAAUUAAUGGACUUUGGAAUUGAUGUAGGAUGUAUCCCUAUCUCUUAUAACAAUAAUUGUGCAAUCAGUAUGACCAAGAACCCGGUUUAUCACAAAAGAACUAAGCACAUAGAUAUUAGGCAUUAUUUUAUUAGGGUUAGUUUUGAGAAAGAUUUGAUCACUUUGGAAUUUUGUACUACUGAUAAGAAAAUUGUUGGCAUCUUCACAAAAGCCUUGAGUGGAGAUCACUUUGAAAGGAACAUUUUAGAAUUAUGGAUGAUUAAGAUCACUUAAAAGAAAUCGGCUCUAACUCAAUGAUUGGUAAGAUAAUUUAUAAAUUUUUUAAAUAAUUAGAUUAGAUAUUCCUCGGUCUCUUACUUUUAUUAGUAUACUUUUGUGCCAUGUGCUAAAAUGUCUCACUGAUGUUUAAUGAUAUUACUCUUAUUUUCUUGGAAACAAAUCAGUCUUACAUAAGAAAACUUUUAGUGACGAACCUGGUUCAUUGAGCUUAUAAGGUAUGUAUUCUACACUGCAUAAUUUGAAUAACAGCAUAUGGAUGAUGUUCUGAAAAUAGUCCCACGUUAUCUUAAAAUACUUUUGAACCAAUCAGUUGCAAAUGAACCAGUUUCACCCUUAAACACACGUGCCAUAAUUGCCGAGAUUUUUGGGGAAGAGUCCAACGUCUCUUCAAACUAACACUCCCAAGAUGAUUAGACUUCUAACCUCCAAAAGCUACCAUUAUACACUCCAUCUCUUCCCUCUUUAGAUUGAUUCAACUUAACCCUAUUCUUCACUCAAAAACUUUGAAAGAUCAAAAUACUAAUUUCUCUCAAGCCUUCUACACUAAUCAAAUGGAAAACACAUCUGAAAAUGCCAACAUUGAAAAAACGUCUUCACCACCCAAAGAACCCUCACCCACACCUUCAAACACUCAAACCCCCAAGAAAAAAACAUGCGAAGAUGCUUGCACGAAAAAUAAAGUCUAGUAAAGAACAGACCAGGAUAUUGAAUGAGAAAUUGCAGGCAAGCCACACAAAAGAAGCACAAAAAUUUGAUGAGUCCUUCAAGUGUGCAAUUAAGGGGGAACAAUCAGUUUCAUCUAAGACUAAACAUGUAACUUCUGGGCUGAAAUUGUUUUAUGUUUCUUCUGAAGUCGUUGACAAGCUUGAGAAUAGGUUUGUACUGGGGUGGUACAAUUGUUGGUGUAGAAACUGGUGUGACUGAAAAAAUAGGUGGUAAAAAUGAUGAAGGAAAAGAAAACGAGAGUGAGGGUAUUGAAUUAGAUGUGAUGGGAAGGGGAGACGAAGGAGUGAUUGAACCUGACAGAAAAAACAUGGGCAAUGGUCUUGUGGUGUGAGGAUAGUGCUGAUCAGGAAGAGAGUAUUAGAAAAGAAAGAGGUAGUGGGCCUAGGGAUUCUUCUACAGCGGAGGGGCUGGUUAGGUUGAGGAAAAGGUUUCAAGAAUCUGUUCCAUCUAAGAAGGAACGUCUCCAUGACCUACUGCAGAAAGUAUGGAUAGUUACAAUCCUAAUAAAAAGAAAAGUGUAGUAGUUAAGAUCCCUGAAAAAGUAGCGGGUGGAAAGAAAAGGAAAGCUUCUUCUUCUAUCCCUGUAGAGACUCUUCCCACAGGAGGAAGAACUAUAAGGAGCCAGAAGAAACAGAGUGAGGCCAACCUAAAAAAGGCCUUAGCUAAGAGUGCCAUGAAAGUUACUGCUAAAGGGAAGAAAAAGGUUGGUGAAAUGAGUGAGGCAAUUGAGAAAGUGGAGAUAGACCUGGUCCUUGAUGAUGAUGAUGAAGCAGAGGAAGUGAAGGUUGUGAGUCCCAGUGCUAAAAACAGAGAGACUUCUAAGAAGAAGUCUCAAGACAAGUCCAUUGCAAUAGAGGACUCUGCCUUGUCCAAAAGAACUAGGUUUGCAAGGAAAUCAAGAAAAAUUCAAAUAAUGGUAGAAGAAAUUGAAGAAGAGGAGACUGAUGAGGAAAAAGAAAAAUUGGUGAAGUUCCAGAAAAGAAAAGUUAUGAAAGGGAAGCUUCUUAGUGAUUUAAAAAGAAUAAGUGAUGGUUCUGCUACUGGAGAAAUUUAAAACACAAGGUUGGAAGGACAUGGUCCUUCAUCUAGAAGGAAGGUUGGACAGGGCUGAAAUUGUUGAAUUCUUGCAAAUUGUGAGAUUGUAAAUGGAAGGGUCAACGAUGAAGUGAAAGUAGUGAAGGUGAUAUUUGAUUAUAAAGAACUAGGGGGAUUAUAGCUAUACCCGUUGAGAAAGAGGAGAUAGACCUGGUAUAAUGACUAUACCAAGUUGAAGUGCACUAGUAUAUAAAAGCUUCCUAUCUCAUUGGCCAUCACCAGGGAAUUUACUAAUAGGGAGUUAGAGCAAGAACCCAGGGUUAUUUAUAAGAGUGAAAUGAAACCUGCCCACAAAGUGCUAUUUGAAUUUGUCAACAAAGUGGUUCUGCCCAAGCAGGAAAGAAGGUAUAUUGCUACCUUUAUGGACCUGGUCCUUAUGGAAUGCCUAGAUAUUGGCAUGCAAAUGAACUGGUCAGGGUUCAUAAUCCAGAUCUUUCAUAAGGUUGUUUGUGGCACUAAAACUCAUGACAUUCCCUAUGGCUUUAUCCUAACUGAUGUGUUUGACUAUUUCAAGGUCCCCUCAAUAAAUGGGAUGUUAGCAUGAGUAAAGACUACUUUGGGCCGAUACUUUGACUGACUCUAUCUAUGAAGUCCAAACUGCUCCCAAAGAACUUGAUUCAUCAAUGAGGGUACCUAAGAACAACAAGGUUAGAGUAUUGGAGUAGGAGAGUGGGGCUAAGAAUGUUGAGAUUGAUAAUCUGAAGAAAAGACUGGCUGAAGUAGAAGCUUAGAGGGACUCUCUCAAGUCUAUGGUUCCAAAGGAGGAACAAAAGAAUGAGGGUAUUUUUCACGACAUGUUGAACCUGCUUAAGGCCAGGAGCCAAAAACCUGGUCCUUCCUAGUCCUUAACCUUUCCUAGCCCAGUUUGUAACCAGUGACCCAAGUGGGAUUCGUUUGUGCUUUGGUUCUCAUGGUUCUAUGCUUUAUUUCUUUUUAUGCUUUGUGGAAGAAUCUUAUCAAUAAUAUUCACUUAUUUUGCUCUAAUUAUUUAUUGAUAUUUCUUAGAUGUCUAAUAUCCUUAGGUUGAUAAGAGAAUAUUGAAUCUAUGAUUUCAUUUGAAGUAGCCUCAGUGGCCAUGAGUAAUAUCUACUAAAAUUUGGUGACUUAACUUAAUUAUACAACUUUUCAAUGAUACAAAAAUGGGGAAGAUAAGUUGUGAUUUUGCUUUGGACUAUGAUGUAACCUAAUGAACCUGGUCCUUGAUGAUUUGUGACUUUACAUGGAAAGUAUUUUGACAUUGUGUUUGAUGUUGAGCUGAGCUGAAACAUGUUCCAUACUUUUGAAAAGCACAGAGUUUGUCAUCAUUAAAAAGGUGGAAUUUGUUGAGCUGAGUGAUUUUGGUUUUGAUGAUUGACAAAGAAACACAUGUAUGAACCAGGUCCAGGCACAGUGUACACAGGUUACAGUCAGAUUUAAGCAAAAGGCAUGCACAUGCAAGGGAUAAGUAUACGUGGUUAUUUCUGAUAUUCCCUGAACGAAAAAGAAUGCAUAAUUGAUAAGGAGUUGGACUCCUUACUUGAUGAGAACUCUAUCCUAGAUAAGGAAAGGCAUAGAGAUUGAAGUUACUAAACCUCUUCCACCGACGAAGAGUAAAGCAUUAGGUUUCUAGCUAAUCUUAAUCCUACUAACUCUAUACAUAUUAGUUGUGUUCUCUUUUACACGUGACACACACACGCUAAAGUUAGGAAUGAAUUGAUAGCAAAAUAGCAAGCAUUACCUGUGUGUUUCAAGAGUGCGAACCCGAAGCUACAUCAACCAGAUAGUCGAACUUGUUCCAUGUGUCUGUCUUUUAUUCUAGUUCAAUUGUAGUAGGAGCUUUUGAAUUGUACCUUUUCUCUUUCUUAUAAUCUAAUUGUAUUAGGUAUUUGAGUUGUAUCAUUCAAGUUCGAGUUAACUUGAAGUAGUCGGAACUUCCUAUGACUGGUUGCUACUAGGGUUAGGUAAUCCUUAGUUUUACAAGAGUUUGUAAACAUUGUUGUUUUGGCUCAGAGUUGUAGUGAAGUUUUGGGAAAAAUCCUACUAGGAAGUAGGUCGUGGUAUUUUCACCUUUUGAGCCAGGUGUUUUCCAAAUAAAAAUACUUGUGUUCUUUACUUUCUACAUUAUUUAUUCCGCAAUAAAAAAUUAAGGAACGCAUAGAAGAACCAGGUCUUUCUAUAAUCCAUUGCACGCGAAAAUUGGACACCGCACAAAUCACUCCAUGUUGUGUGGUAUUGAAGUAUAAAACAUCAAUAACUUAGUAACGGUGGUGCGCUAAUAGGAGCUCAAGGUGUACUGAAUAAUGGCCGCUUAGAACGAGAUCCAUAAAAACCACGACUGCCCAAAGAACCAUGUGUUACCUGAAGCGCUGACUGAAUCGACUUGUGAGGAUGGCCUCUACCAAAUGAACCCUUGCCUCAAGAUAAGGCAUCACUGAAACCACCAAAAUGACUAGGCCUCUUCUCAGAUACAUCCUCCUUACCGUGACCACGAAUCCUCUCGAUCUGUCUAGUGACCUCUACAACCCGCUGGAAAUAAAUAUCAUCCCUAGUCUCCUUGGCCAUAUGUAGCCUGAUACUAAAAUUAAGUCCAUCUAUGAAUCUCCUCACCCUAUCCCUCUCAGUAGUGAUUAAGAUAUGUGCACGAUGAGAUAGGUCUACAAAUCUGGUCUCGUACUGGAUAACAAUCAUGCUACCCUGUUGUAGACACUCAAACUGGUUAAGGUACUCCUCUCUCAGAGUAAAUUGAAUAAACUUCUCCAAAAUAACUGUGAGAACUGAUCCCAUGUGAGUGGAGGUAAACUUGUUGGUCUGCCUCAAACAUAGUCCUGCUACCAUCUAUUGGCAAAGACGGUCAUCUGAAACACUACGAAGCCGACUCCUAUGUUGCGUAAUAUCUCGUGGCAACGGUCAGAAUACUCUUAUGGGUCCUCAGAAUCUAUACCACCAAAUGAAUAGAAAAUAUCUUGGUGAAGUUAUCCAACCUCUUUAGCCCUGCAGAAGACAUUAUGGGCCUCUCUAUGGACUGUGUAGCAAUAACGGACUAAUCCACUCUAACUUCUAGGACCGCUGGAGUCUAAUACAUUGGAGCCAUCUGCUCCGGAGUCUGUGUAGCGGGCGUCUGGGCUCCUCCCCUAGCGUGAGAGAUAGUUGGUGCCAUAGGAAAUAAUUUAGCUUGGGCCACACUCUCCGUUAGGCCAACCAGGCGAACUAAAGUGUCCUGAAGUACGGGAGUGGCUAUGAACCCCUCUGGGACCUGAGGUGGUCCAAUUGUGCAAUCUGAAUGGGGAUUUUAUCCUCCAGCUCAAUCUAAGGCUCUGCAAUAGGUGAUGUUGCGUGUGCUCUAGGCUGAGCUCCACCUCUACCUUGGCCCCUACCCCUGGUAGUGGCUGCAACUCGGGGCUCCGGCUCCUGCCCAACGGUUAAUGUUGUGCAUAUGCUCACCAGCUGCGAUAGAACAAGAAUAAAAUGGUUUAAACAUCAGUGAUACAAUAAAGUUUCACAAUAGAGAAAGAAAGAAGUGAAAUUUUCCUAAAGCUCUAUAGACUCUAGAAGAUAAGUAUAGAUGUCUUUGUACCGAUCCUCUAGACUCUACUUAUCUCACUCAUGACUCGUGAGACCUUGGCAACCUAGGGAUCUGAUACCAACUUGUCACGACCCAAAAUCCCAACUGUGGGGUGUGAUGGUUCCUAAUAUCCAUUUGAUAGGAAAGCCAACGUUAGCAAAUUAAUUAACCAGUUUUAACAGUUUAAAAGUAGAACCUUAAUAAUAUGAAACUGAAAUAAACUAAAUUAGAUGUGAUAAAUACAAACGUAGUACAGUCCAAACAUAUCCCAGUAAUCCAAAGUCACGAGUACAUGAACAACUAAAAUACUACAAAUAAAGCCUGAAUGAAAUACAUUUGUUUGAAACAAAAUAAACAAUGAAAAUCAGGUAGAAGGGGACUUCAUGGAUUGCGAACGUCGAGCACUACCUCAAGUCUCCUGUAGUAGUCGAAUCUGAGCAGUCUCCGCUAUGCGCCGCUAGGACCAACAUCGGGAUCUACAGAAGAAGUGUGGACGUGUAGCAAGAGUACAACCGACCCCAUAUACUAUGUAAGUGCCGAUCCUAACCUCGACAAAGUAGUGACAAGGAUAUAACAAGACACUCACAAUAAACCUGUAGGAAUAAUACUAACAUAAUGCAAAAAUAUAGAUACAACGGAAAAUUCAUAUAAACGGACUCGAAGGUCAACUACCAGAGGGCCCCAGAAUAACAUGAUCUCAAGUCUCAUAUAACAAUACCGAGAAUAAACUCUAACCUCACAAACAACUACAACACACCAACUUUGUUUCGAUGCGCAACCCGAUCCCAACACUUAACACAAUAAUUGUUGUGGUAUGUAAAUUGAUCCUAACAUUUAAAACAAUAAUUGUUGCAGCGUGCAACCUAAUCCCAAUAUCAUAUCAUAUCAUCAUCUAUUGUAGUGUGUAACCCGAUCCAGUACGCAACCCGUUCCCUUUAUCAAUCAUUAACAUAUCAACUUAACACCACUAGUUACGAAAUCUCAACACAAAGAGAAAUGAAACAAGCGGAACAUUAAGGAACUACCAGUACAAACUGGGAAUAGCCAAUACCUCAUAAUCCCAAACCUUGUCAAGAUAUUAAUACCGGAAUAGCUAAAUGGCUCACAUAAACGAAAUAACUUAACAAGGUGCAUCAAGGAAUAUAAGGACAUAAAAGCAAGUAAAACAUGAGACAACGAAAAUAUACAAUUAAUGCAAGUAGGAACAUGUAGCAGGUAAGCAGAUAUUCAGUGCAAAAUGAAAAACUUGAAACAAGUAACAUUUAAAUAACAAAUAACAAGCAAGUCAUGGAUAACAAGUUUUAGAAACUACCCACGAAUGAAAAAAAUUAUAUCUUUAAUGAAUCUGCAAAAAGUCAACAAAAGUCAACCCCGGGCGCGCUUGGUCAAAACCCAAAAUUCGGACCACAACUCAAUUACCCAUUCAUCCUCGAGUCCAGUUAUAUGAUUCGUUUCGCCCAAAACUCCUAAUUUCUACCAUGAAGUUCAUAGACUAAAAUGUUAAUCAAUGGGUGAUUAUGAAAAUACAUCAAAACUAGUUAAAAAUCACUAACCAAUGAAGUUGGGAUGCAAAUAUCCUCAAAACCCCCUCUAGGCCGAGAUCUAUAUUUCAAAAAUGGUGAAAAGUGACAAAAUCCCGACUUUCAUCUUUUAAAUAGUUGAACGCCAGGUGUUCUUCGUGUUCGCGAAGCAUCUUACGCGUUCGCGAAGAGAAUUUUCCAAUUGGCCUUUGCGUUUACGAAGUCCUACCCGCGUUCGCGAAGGAAUCCCCAGCCAAGCCUCGCGACCCGUUGGUCGCGUUCGCGAAGAAGGAUUAUCCUACCUUCCCCCAGAUCUCCCAAAGCAUCGCAUUCGUAAUGGGUGAGUCGCGUUCACAAAGGGUAAGCCCCCCAAUGCUUCGCGUUCGCGACCUACCACUCACGUUCGCGAAGAGCAACCUAUCCAAGACCAACAUUUUUCAUUUGCAAUCGCGGGAGAAGCUUUGCAAUCGCAAAGCUCUGGACACUAGAAGCAAAAACCAAUAGUCCUUUAAGUCCAAAUAUGGUCCGAAGACAAUCUAAAUCUCACACGAGCCCCUCGGGCUCCAUAUCGAACAUGCACACAAGUGUAAUAACAUUAUACAAACUUGCUCACUACCUUAAAUCAUCAAAAUAAUAUCAAAUAACAAGAAUCGAUCUAUAAAACUCUAGAAUUUUCACCUAUACUCAAGUUUUCACAAUUUCAUGUUUAAUGCCCCGAAACACGAUUGGGUCACCCCGGACCCCAACCAAACGUGCGUACAAGUCCAAAAAUAUUAUAUGAACCUACCUGAAUCGUCAAAAUACCACCACUCAAUGCCUAACUUAGUGGUAUAUUUGCUUUUUAUAAAAUCGUUAAAAUACCGAUACGAGGUUGUUUACAAAUGAAGCUAAUAAAGAUCUCGAAACAUGGAAAAAAUGCUAAAACUCAAAAUGACCUAUUGGGUCGUCAUAUAAUGGGUACAUGUUGUAUGGGUAUUAGGGAAAUUUUCAUAUAUACCCACUUUUGGGGCCACUAUUGAAGUUAUACCAGCAUUGCAUAAAAGUUUAAAAUGUAUACCCGCUCGGAUCUGAAGUAGUUCAAUUUCUUCAAUGCAACUUCAGAAAACAAAUAUGAAGUUCUUUUAUCUUUAUAACGCAACUUUAGAAAUUAGAAUCUAAAGUAGUUCAAUAUCUUCAAUGCAACUUCAGAAAAAUAUAUGAACUUCUUCUAUCUUUCAAAUGCAACUUCAGAAAUUUAAAUCUUAAGUGGUUCAAUCUAUUGAAUGCAACUUUAGAUUUCCAAUUUUAUGUUCUGAAACAUAAAGUUGUUCUUUGAAUUUCAACAACCCAAUACACGAUUCAAUGCCCAAUUCUAUUCCAAAUGAGCUCAAAUUUAAAAUAUAACUUUCAAAUAUCAUGAAGAACUGUAAUGGCUCGGCCGAUCAUUUUGUGUAUUUGAGCCCCGUUCCCUUAUUUGAUAUGUUUCGUAUAUGUGUUUAUUAUUUUGUGACUUAAGUUGUAAGCGUUCACUGAGGUUUGACUUUUAUGUAAACGACCUCAAAAUUAUCUUUUGAUGGUUCCAAUAGGUUUUUGUGGUUAUUUUAAACUUAGGCGUAUGUCUGGAUUUGGAUUUGGAGAAUCCUAAGUUGAUUUGGCUCUAUUUCGCGAAAGUUAAAAAUUUGAAGGUUUGCAAGAUUUAUAGGUUUGCCCAGGAGGUUAGUUUGGUUUUAUCGGGUUCGAUUUGUUGUUACGGGAGUUGAAAUAGGUUUGUUAUGUCAUUCGAAACUUAUGUGCAGAAAUUUAGAUCAUUCCGAAUUGGUUAAGCGUGUUUCGGCAUGAGUUUGGAAGCUGAAAGUUUGAUUAGUUCAUUAAGCUUGAAUUGAAGUGCGAUAUAUUGUCACGACCCCAAAAUUCCACCUUAGGAAUCGUGAUGGCAUCUAGCCUCUAAGAAUAGGUAAGCCUAGCACAUGCUGAGAAAUAACAUAAAUAACCAACUAAGUUAUUAACUUAAACUGAUAAAUGACAUAAUAAAAGCCAAAAUGGAACAACGGUCAUACAACCCCAAAAUUAAUAGUACAGAGUCAUAAGCUCUACCGCGAGUAACUAGGAAUAUUAAUUACAUCACAGUUUUGUGGAAGUAACAAUAGUAAAGUAAAACGUCAGAAGGUGACUCCGAGGCCAGUGAACAUAACGGCAGAUAUACAUUGAAAUCUCCAUAGCAAAUCUAAACAACAACCAGCUAACGACCGGCGCGUUUAGAGGUACUUGGAUCUGUACUAAUAUAUGCAGAAGCGUAGUAUGAGUACACCAUAAUGGCACCCAGUAAGUAUCAAGACUAAUCUCGGUAGAGUAGUGACGAGGUACUAGUGAAGACACUCACUAGACAUAGUAAGCCUGAGCAAAGUAUUAAUAUAAAGCUGACAGUGGAAAAAAUAUCAAUAUAAAGCUAAACAUGAAAAAACAUUUAGUAUAAAGCUAACAAUGGUAAGUAAAGGUAAAAAAUGGCAACAAGAGUAAACGUGAAAUAAACAACUUAAAUACUCAAAACACAAUUAAAAUACAAGUGAAAUACACUAAGGAAAACAACAACAGUUCAAAUCAUCAAGUCAUUCCAAUACAGAAUUUACUACAAGAACAAUUCUGAGGCACAACACCUCAUAACCACCAAUCACAAGUUUCAAAUCACAACUCUCACACACAUGGCACCUCGUGCCUACAUUAUCAAUCACCUUCGCAUGGCAAGACCUCGUGCCACAACAUCAAUCACACUCGCACUGCCAAGACCACGCAUUGUUAUGUAUAUCUUAUCCAUGCCAAUUACAAAUAAAAUGUUCAAAGUUUAUUUAAAUAUAGUAAAGCAUGAUAUCAAUUUAAUGUAAGGUAAAUUGUCAAUGAGAUUAUUAUAAGAAUCAAAUAAAGUAGAACGUGAUAACAAUUUAAAUAAAGUGAAUCAUCAAAUGAGAAAAUGAAUUUAUUCUAAGAAUCGAGUAAGGUAAAGUAUGAUAACAAUUUAAAUAUAGUAAAGCACCAAAUGAGUUAAUGAGUUUAUUUUAGGAAUAAAAUAAAGUAAAGUAUGAUAACAAUUUAAAUAGUAAAGUAUCAAAUGAGAUAAUGAGUUUAUUUUAAGAAUCGAGUGAGGUAAGGCAUGAUAACAAUUUCGUUAUUUAAAUCCAUUGUGUACCAACAACUCAACAGAAUAUGAGAUACUUACUCCAUGCAAGUAAAUCCAUCUUGAUAACCAACUCACCAAGUAACAUCGGAGGACCAAAUUAGCACAUUAAAGCAACGCAACAAAUCACUUAAAAUGUAUGACACACACAAGAAGUCACAGUCGUUCCAAGACAAAAAUUACAACAAGAGUCAACCCGAGGUAUCACACCUCAUAAUCACAAUACACAAGUUAUAAAUCACAAAUCACAAAUCUUCCUUAUAACGCCGCGUGAGCCUUACAUUUAUUCUAAACAAAUAUUUUUCCCGAAAUAGCUUCACGCACUUUAGCCCCCUUAGCUCGCCGCGUGUGCUUCAAAUGAAGUAAAUCCCCUUACUAGCAACAUGCGCAUAACUCCGCUUAUCUCGCCGCAUGCGCAUCAAUAUCACCACCCUUAUAUCGCUGCAUUCGCAUCACCUCAAUACAAUAAUGAACUAGCACCACACGCGCUAAUAUGCCACAAGAUUAUCAAAACAACAAUACCAAUAUCACAACUAUACAUAGCCCAUGCCUCAACAACAAUGUGUACAAGAAUUUCAACAAUACCUCAAUGAAACGGAAGAAUGAACACUACAAUGAAAGAUAAUCCAUGUAAUAAAAACUUCAAUUAAAUGCAUAAAAAUAAAGUCAACAAUGAAGGAUAUAACAUGUAAUAACAACUUCAAAUAAAUUCAUAAGAAGAAACUCAACAAAGAAAGAUAAUCCAUAUAUUAACAACUUCAAUUAAAUGAAUAUAAGAAUAAACUUAACAAUGAAAGAUAUUACAUGUAACAACUUCACUUAUAUGCAUAUAAGUUACCUUAGAAUCCAUACCGGUUAAAUACCACAUAUAAACCCGUGUACUCGUCAUCUCUCGUGCACGGCUUUCACAUAAUUCAAAUAGUGAAAUUAGCCCAAAUCCUACGGGGUAGUUCCCCCACCUAAGGUUAGGUAAGAUACUUACCUCAAUUACACCAAUUCAUCACUCCAACUAACUUUUCCUUAAAAAUUUGACUCCGCACGGCUCAAAUCUAACCAAAAAUGGCUUAAUAUCAUCAAGAAAUGCAAGGGAGACUAGUUCCGAUAAUUAAAGUUAAACUCUUUACAUAAUUCCCCAAAAGUCAACCAUGGGCUCGCCAGGUCAAAACCUGAGUCCAAGAGUAGAUCUCGACUACCCAUAACUCCACGAGUCUAUAUAUAUUUUUUGUUUUCAAAUUCGAGUCCAAUUCGACUCACAAAUCUCAAAAUUUCAUUUUUCCAAACAUAGACAAAAUCCCCCAAAUAUUCUCUUCAAAUUCCAUAGUUUAGAUGUUAAAUCUCCUAAAUAAUCAUGUAAUAUAAUUAAAAUAGGAUCAAAACCACUUACCCAGUAGUUGUAUGUGAAAAUCCCUCCUCACAAUCGCCUUCUACCAUGUCUAGGAAUUUAAAAUGUGAUAAAUAAAGCUAAGUCCCGAAAUUCCAACCUUUUGUUCAGUUCCAAAAGUCGCAAAUGUGACAAGGGGUUUGCAAAUGCGACUCCUUGUAAUUGCAAUAGGGAUCACAAAAGUGAACCCAGUCAGCCCUCAUAGAUAUUGCAUUUACGACACAGGGCUUCGCUGUCACGACCCUAAAGUCAAACCUGUCGUGAUGGUGCCUAUCGAUGGAAAUGCGGAAUGAAAAGCCCCAAACAUCGGGGUGUCACUGAGUCACGAGAAACUACUAAAAACUGGUCCGACAAUAACAAGACUAACAUAGUCGGGGGAAACUCCAAAAUAAAGCUAAGGGGAAGAUAAAGAAGGAGAAAACAGGGUUGCGAUCGUUGGGCAACUACCUUGCUAACUCCAAUGAUCAGCUACAGGAAUAUCAGCAGCCGCUACAGUGACCAAAAAUGUAUGGAUCUGCACACAAGGUGUAGGGAGUAACGUGAGUACACCAACUCAGUAAGCAACAGAAGUAAAUAAAGGCUGAGAAGUAGUGACGAGCUAAAUGCAAGCACCAUUAAUAUCACAAAAAUUUAGUAAACUGCGGCAUGCUUUGCAACGAGAGUUUAAGUCAAAUCAGCUUGUUUAAAUCAAGUUCAAGUAAGUCAAUUAGAAAUAUCUUUCAACAAUUCUCAAACAAGGACUCAAAGCAACUAUGAACAUAGAUGAUGAAAUCAUAUACUGCCCCUCGAGAUAACAUCACUCAGUCCUCCCAAUCACUCCAACCUCACAAUCACCCAUGCCUCACAAUCACUCAUGCCUCACAAUCGCUUAGCACUCGACACUUGGCACUCACACUCAAUAGGUACCUGCGCUCACUGGGGGUGUUUAGACUCCGAAGGGGCUCCUACAGCCCAAGCGCUAUAAUAUGUACGGACAACUCACGUGCUACACGGACAACACACGAGCAAUAAUAUCAUAUCAGAAUCCGUACGGAUAACUCACGUGCUGAGGUACAAUACCUCAUAAACAGGCCCUUGGCCUCACUUAGUCAUAAACCUCUCCAGUCUCUCGGGCUCUCAGAAAUAAAAGAAAUCAGCCCAAACAACAUAAACAUGAUGCAUCAAAUAGAUUAACAGUGACUGAGCUACGAUGUAAGAAUACAUGAACAUGACUGAGUAUGGGAUAUCAACUAAAGCAGUGAGAGGACAGCAAGAAACAACCUCUAAGGGUCCAAACAAUACAGGCACAGAGUCUAGACAUGGUAUCUAUCAUGAUUUAUAGUAAAUCUUUCUAAAGCACAUAAAGAGCAUAUAGUUACAACUGGGUGUUCAACUUUACAGUUGCUACGGGAUGGACCAAGUCACAAUCCCUAAUGGUGCACGCCCACACGCCCAUCACCUAGCAUGUGAGUCACCUCCAAAUAGUCACAUGACAUAAAAUCCGGGGUUUCAUACCCUCAGGACUAGAUUUACAAUCGUUAAUUACCUCAAUCCGAGCAAAACUCUAUUCCGCAAUCCCUUGCCUAUCGAAUCGGCCUCCGAGCAUCCCGAAUCUAGCCACAAGCAGUACAAUAUAAUUAAUAUAUGCCCAAGGAAUCAAUCCCACAAGAAAAAUACUAAAUUAGACUCAAAACCCGAAAUCGACUCAAAUCCGACCCCCGAGCCCACGUCUUGAAAUCCGACAAAAGUCACAAAACCCGAAAGCCCAUUCACGCACGAGUCUAACCAUACAAAAUUCAUCAAAUUCCAACGUCAUUUGAUCCCUCAAAUCCUCAAUUUACGCUCUCUAAAAUCCUAACCCUAACCCCCGAAUUUUUCACUUCAAAACUACACUAAUUACAUGAGAAAAUAACGGGAAAACACCAUAGCUAGGAGUAUUAGAGCUCAAGCAACUUACCUCUGUGAAAACCCUUGAAUCCCCUUCAAAAAUCACCCCAAAAGCUCUAAAGUCCGACUUGAAAAUGGUGGAAAUGAGCAAAAAUCAUGAAAUCCCCAAUGUAUACAUUCUUCCCAGCGAAGCCGCACCUAUGGUCCCUUCAUCGCAUUUGCGAUACCGCACUUGCGUACCAAGCUCCGCUUUUGGGAAAAUCAUUUAAAACCCCUAGGACCGCUUCUGCGCCUCUAGACCACAUGUGCGGUCAUUGCAUGUGUGGAAAUGCCAUUGCACCUGCGGCCCAACAACGCACAUGCGCCCCAUAAUACGCUUAUGCGAUCAUCGCAAGUGCGGGAACUUCAUCGCACCUGCGCCUUCUGCCUAGCUCCUCCAAUCUCGCAUAUGUGAUCUCCCGCUCACUUCUGCGAGCUCGCACCUACGAUGAGACAUCCGCAAGUGCGAUUAUGACAGCUGAGUUCAACUUCAGCAAUUCCUCCAAUUUCCAAACUUGUUCCGUUAAUCACCCGAAAUCAACCCUAAGCCCUCGGGACCUCAACCAAACAUACCAAUAUAUCCCACAACAUCAUACGAACUUAGACAAAUCAUCAAAUUACUUAAACAACAUCAAAACACAAAAUUACAUUCAGAUUCAAGUCUAAGAACUUCUAAACUUCCAAAUUCCACAAACGAUGCCGAAACCUACCAAACCACGUCCGAAGGACAUCAUAUUUUGCACACAAGUUACAAAUGACACCACAAACCAACUCUGAUUUCCGGAAAUCCAUUCCGACUCCAAUAUCAAAAUUUCCACUGCCGACCAGAAUAGCCAAAUUUCCAACUUUCGCCAAUUCAAGCCUAAUUCCACUACGGACCUCCAAAUCACAUUCCUGACACACACCUAAGUCCAAAGUCACCUAACAGAGCUAGAGGAACUAUUAAAAUUCAAACCCGAGAUCGUUUAAACAUAAAUCAACAUCCGGUUGACUUUUCCAUCUUAAGCUUCUACUUUAGAGACUAAGUGUCUCAAUUCACUCCGAACCCACUCCGGACCCGAAUGACACCAGAAUAACAGAGACUGAGCUACGAUAUAAGAAUGCAUGAACAUUACUGAGUAUGGGAUAUCAACUAAAGCAGUGGGAGGACAGCAAGAAACGACCUCUAAGGGUCCGAACAAUAAUGGCAUAAAGCCUAGACAUGGUAUCUAUCAUGAUUUAUAGUAAAUCUUUCUAAAGCACAUAAAGAGCAUAUAGCUACAAUAGGCUGUUCAACUUUACAGUUGCUACAGGACGGAUCAAGUCACAAUCCCCAAUGGUGCACGCCCACACGCCUGUCACCUAGCAUAUGCAUCACCUCCAAAUAGUCACAUGACACAAAAUUUCGGGGUUUCAUACCCUCAGGACUAGAUUUACAACUGUUACUUACCUCAAUCAGAGAAAAUCUCUACUCCGCAAUUCCCUUGCCUCUCGAAUCAGCCUCCGAGCUUCCCGAAUCUAGUCACAAGAAGUACAAUACCAUUAAUAUAUGCUAAAGGAAUCAAUCCCACAAGAAAACUACUAAAUUAGAUUCCAAACUCGAAAUCGACUCAAAUUCGACCCCCGGGCUCACGUCUUGAAAUCUGACAAAAGUCACAAAUCUGGAAAGCCCAUUCACUCACGAGUCUAACCAUACAAAAUUCAUUAAAAUCCGACGUCAUUUGGUCCCUCAAAUCCUCAAUUUGCACUCUCCAAAAUCCCAAGCCCUAACCCCCAAUUUUUCAAUUCAAAACUCCACUAAUUAGAUGAGAAAACAAUGGGAAAACACUAUAUCUCGGAGUAUUAGAGCUCAAUCAACUUACCUCUAUGAAAACCCUUGAAUCCCCUUCAAAAGUCACCCAAAAGCUCCAAAGUCCGACUUGAAAAUGGUGGAAAUGAGCAAAAAUCACGAAGUCCCCAAUUUAUACAUUUCCCUUCACCGUAUCUGCGGAUCAAGCUCUGGUUUUUUGGAAAUCACUUAAAACCCCUAGGACCGCUUCGACGCCUCUAGACCGCAUCUGCGGUCAUCGCAGGUGCGGAAAUGCCAUCGCACCUGCGGUCCAACAACGCACAUGCGCCCCAUAAUCUGCUUAUGCGACCAUCGCAGGUGCGGGAACUUCAUCGCACCUGCGCCUUCUGCCCAACUCCUCAUAUCUCGCAUCAGUGAUAUUCUACUCGCUUCUGCGGUCUCGCACCUGUGAUGAGACAUCUGCAGGUGCGAUUAUGACAGCUGAGUUCAACUUCAGCAAUUCCUCCAAUUUCCAAACUUGUUCCGUUAAUCACCCGAAAUCAACCCGAGGCCCUCAGGACCUCAACCAAAUAUACCAACAUAUCCCACAACAUCAUACGAACUUAGACAAAUCAUCAAAUCAAUCAAACAACAUCAAAACACCAAAUUACACUCGGAUUCAAGCCUAAAAACUUCUAAACUUCCAAAUUUCACAAACGAUGCCGAAACCUACCAAACCACGUACGAAUGACCUCAAAUUUUGCACACAUCAAAAAUGACACCACCAACCUACUCCGUUUUCCUGAAAUCCAUUCCGAACCCGAUAUCAAAUUUUCUACUGCCGACCAAAAUAGCCAAAUUUCCAACUUUCGCCAGUUCAGGCCUAAUUCCACUACGGACCUCCAAAUCACAUUUCAGACGCACACCUAAGUCCAAAGUAACCUAACGGAGCUAUAGGAACUAUCAAAAUUCAAAUCCGAGAUCGUUUACACAUAAGUCAACAUCCGGUUGACUUUUUCAACUUAAGCUUCUACUUUAGAGACUAAGUGUCUCAAUUCACUCUGAACCCACUUCGGUCCCGAACCAACUAACCCGGUAUAAUGAAAUAUAGCUGAAGGACACAAAAAGAAACAGAAAUGGGGGAAACAGGGCUAUAACUCUCGAAACGAUUAGCCAGGUCGUUACAUUCGCAAUUGUGAUGGCAACUUCUUUGCUAAUUCGACCAGACAGACCAAUGUUGACGUCGCAAAUCCGAUAAGGCGAUUGAAUUUACGACAUUUGAACCUCCCCCGCCCUCUUCGAAAUUGUAAUUGUGGUGCUCAUAAUUGUGACAACUGCAGCACCAGCACACCAGUAACCUGGAACAAGUUCAAUCCAAUUCAAAACACGUUUGAUACUCACCUGAGCCCUCUAGGAUCCACAUCAAACAUCCACAAAAGUCCCAAAACAUCGUACGAACUGAUCGCAUGAUCAAAACACUAAAAUAACAUCCAGAACAUCAAAUUGGACAUCAAAACAUAUGAAAUUUCACAAUGAAUUGAAGAAUCGCUAGAAACACAACCAAGCGUCUGAUUCCUUUCAAACCACCUCGGAGUGACACAAAAUUUUGCAGACAAGUUCUAAAUAAUAAAACAGAAAACGUACCUAUUGCAAGUCUCGAAACGAAAAUCCAAACCCGAUAGCUAUAAGGUCAAACCAUGGUGAAACUUAUGAUAAUUCUACACCUUCAAAUUGCCAACUUUUGCAAAAAAUUGCCAAAUCAGCCUAGGAACCUCCGAAUCUCAUUCCGAGAAUACGUCUAAGUCCAAAAUCACUAUUUGGACCUAACGAAACCAUCAAAACUCUUAUCCUAGCUCAAAUAAGCAAUAAAUCAAACUUGGUCAACUCUUCCAACUUAAAACUUCUAAAAUAAGAAUCAUUCUUCCAAAUAAAUUAUGAACCACUCGAAAACCAAAAUUGACCAUAAACUCAAGUCAUAAUAUAUCAUAUGAAGCUACUCAAAGUCACAAAUCACUUAUUGGAAUGCUAAAGCUCAAAACAACUGGUCAAGUCAUUAUAUUUAUAGUUUUGAUAUUAUUUGGUAUGAUUUGAGAUCUCGAGUUGGUCUAUAUUUUGGGACUGGUUCGUAUGAUUGGACAGAGUUCUCGAGGUGGAUCGAGUGCAUUUUGGAUGGGUUUCGGAUCAAUUGAGAUUGAAUUGGCAGUUUUGGUCUGGUGUGUAUUCACCUGCGCGGUUUAUUCCACAGGUGUGAGUGCGCAUAUGUGGACAGGUGAUCACAAAAAUUGAUUUGGGCCUGGGGUAGUAAGGUCCGCAGAUGCAAAGGUUUGUGAACAUAUGUGAGUCCACAUAAGUGGAGUUUUGAUCGCAGAAGCGAAGUCUUGGUUAGGCAGGGGAGUCCGUAGAAGCGGUCGUUUGAGUUUAGAAAUGCUAGUACAAGUGUGAACAAAAUUCUGCAGGAGUAGGUUCUCAUAAGAAGAGGUUUGUCCGUAGAUAGGAAAGGGAGGAACAUAAGUGGAUUUCUGCAUCUGUGAGGUAUUUUUAGCAAAUGUAGUGUCGCAUAAGCGAUAUUUGGAUCGCAGAAGCGAUAGUCGUUGGGCAGAUGUCACGACCCAAAAUGCGAGCAUAGAGGGAUUGUGAUGGUACCUAAUCUCUAAGACUAGAUAGUCCUAUCACUCAACAAUAUUAGAUCAACAAAUCAUGAUAUAAUAAAACAGGAAUUAAUAUAAAAGCAAAAUAUGGAGUUAUUACAAUUCAAAGGCAAUGCUCAAACAUCUCCCCAAAACUAGGUAGUACAGAGUCAUGAGCUCUAACUGAACAUAUACGAAAUAUCCUAAUAGAUACAAUAAUGGUCGAAAUCAAAAUUAGCAGUAUCUAUAUAAUGGAUGAGAUUUCAAGGGACUGUGAUAGCAUGCAGCUCUACCUUAAAUCUUCGGGAACAAGCAAUCACUCACUAUCGGGGUCCGCUGCUACCAACACUGGAUCUGCAAAAUAAUAUGAAGAAGUCUAGUAUGAGUACACCAUAUUUGGUACCCAGUAAGUAUCAAAACUAAUCUCAAUAAAGUAGUGACGAGGUUCAAGUAAUGAGAUACUCACUAUUCAAUAACCUGUAUAAUAUAUCAAUAAUUGUCAAUAGAAUAUGAAAGGGAAAACAAUAUCAACCAUCUAGUAGAGCAUUUGAUAACAACUCAAUGUAGAAAAAUCCGAUUUUUGUCAACAAAUCAUCUAAUAGAAGUGAGACAUGUGAUAGUAUGUCAAAUUCAACUAAUAACUCAUUAAAAUACAAGAUGGAAACUUGUAAGAAACAAGUAUGAAAUCAAAAUAUCAACCUCGUUUCAACACAUGAAAAACAACAAGAAAGACAUCCCCGAAUCAUUACAUAACAUCAUCAACAAUGCCACCCUUAUUUCGCAACCUCUCUUAUUUUGCCACAUGCGCAUAUCUCCACCCUUAUUUCGCCUCGUGAGCAACCCAAGUAAAUGCCACCUUUUAUUUCGCCCCCUCCCCCCCCCCCACAAAAAUAGACAAGAUCGCACGUAAAGACCUCAUGUUGACGCCCCCAAUCAAUCCGCUCAACAUGUCCACGUGUUUCACAAUUAUCACAAGAACAAUAAUACCAAAACCUCAUCGAAGGCAUAAGCUCAUAGCUUAUCAACACAUGCACAAGGAAAUGAAAAUAGUAAAAUUGUCUAUGGGUGUCUAGCAUAUAAAUCAUUGCUACAAAUACUACAAUUGGAAUCAUCAUAUUCAUGUAGCCACAAAUUGAUUAAGCAUGUUUCAUAUAAAGUACAUCCUCAAAUUAAGGCAUAUCAAUAGCCUAAGGUCUAAACCGGUCACAAGCCACACAUAGCACCCGUGUACACGCUCAUCAGCUCUUGUACACGCGCUUUUCACAUAAUACAAAUAGCCAAUUAAGGCCAAAUCCUAAGGUGUAUUCCCAAAAAAUGUUUCAACAAUAUCAAACAGUGCUAAAGGAAUAAAUUCCAAACAAUAAAGGCCCAAUCUUUAUCGAAUACCUAAAAAGUCAACCCCGAGCUCGUCCAUUCAAAACCCGAGUCGAGGGGUAGAUCUCGACUAUCCAAAACCCAUGAUUCCAAAUAUGUGAUUGGUUUUCAAAAUCCAGUCCAAAUCGACUCUCAAAUCUCCUAUUUUCAUUUUGCCAUACAUAGUAAAAACUUCCCAAACAUUCCUUUUAAAUUCUAUGAUUUUGGUGUAAAUAUCCAUAAGAAAUCAAGUUGUAUUAUCAAAAUUAAGUGAAAUCACUUACCCAAUAGCUAUGUGUGAAAUUUCCCUUCAAAAACUGCCUUCUACUAAGUCUAGGGCACAGAAUAUUAUAAAAUGAGAUAAGUCCAGAAAUAAGCAGCUAUAAACAAGUUGUAGAUGCCGCAUUUGUGACCAGAGUUCGUAAAUGAGACCAACGGAUCUCAAAAGAAAAGACUACCAAGCCCAGCGUAUGUCGCAAUUGCGACCAAGAACUUCGCAAUUGCGAUGACCCACUGAUCCCAUCAAUAUCGCAAAUGCAAUGACCACUUCGUAAAAGCGAAGUCCCAGCUUCCUCCCACUGUCGCAAACACGACCAGUUUCCUCGCAAUUGCGAGGUCCCCAUAGGAAACAUCCCCAUCGCAAAUGCGAUAAAACAAACGUAAUUGCAGCCAUCGCAAAUGUGAGUAGGCCAUCGCAAAUGCGAGCAGGCCUUCGCAAAUGCAAGGUCUGCAGCACUAAAGAACCUGAAGCAAAGAUCAAAACACUCCAAAAUCAUUCUGAAACUCACCCAAGCCCCUCGAGCCCACACCAACUGUCCACACAACUACAUAAAUAUCAUACGAACUCGCUCGUAUGUUCGAAACAUCAAAAUAACAUAUAAAACCACAAAUCGAACACCAAAAUGCUUCACGCAAGCUAUGAAAUUCAAGAACUUCAAUAUUAACAACCAAGAGUCCAAUUCCUACCAAACCAACUCGAAAUGAUACCAAACCUUUCAAACAAGUUUUAAAUGAAUAAAUAGACCUAUUCCAAGUCCCGAAACCAAAAUCAGAAUAGUCACAAAUGCAAUCCAUGGUCCAAAUUAUGAAAUUUCUAAACCUUCAAAUUGCCAACUUUCGGCAAAAAGAGCCAAAUCAUCCUAGGAACCCCUGAAUUCAAUUCUGGGCACAUGUCUGAGUCUAAAAUCACCAUACGAACUUAUUUAAACCAUCAAAAUAGCAUUCUGGGGCCGUUUUCAAAAAAGUCAAACCUUGGCUAGCUCUUCCAACUUAAGUUUCUAAAAAUGGAACUAGGUGUUCCAACCCAAUCCAAAACUUUCCUGAUGUAAAACCAACCAUCCAUGCAAGUCAAAUAAUAACAAAUACACAUAUAGGAAGCUUCAAAAGGGGAAACGGGAAUCAAAUACACAAACAACUAGCCGGGUCGUUACAUUCUCCUCAUUUUAAACAAAUGGUCAUCCUCAAAUGAGUAUAGAGGCAUACCUGAAGUGCCAAAUAUAUUAGGAUAUCGGCUCCACAUAUCAUGCUCGGUCUCCCAAGUCGCCUUCUCAAAUGGUAGAUCUCUCCAUUGGACCCUCACCGAUGCAAUGUUGUUCGACCUCAGCUUUCGGACCUGCCUGUCCAAAAUGGCGACCGACUUCUCAACAUAAGUCAAAUCCUUGUCCAACUACACAAAGAUGAAAUCUAACACAUGUGACAGAUCAUCAUAGUACUUCCAAAGCAUGGAAACAUGGAAGACCUCAAGCUGGGUCCAAACAAUAUACCGAAGCUGGGUGGCAAAGCAAGUCUGUGGGCCACUUCGCCAACUCUCUCUAAAACCUUAAAAGGACUAAUAUACCGAAGGCUCAACUUUCCCUCCUUCCAAAACCUCAUCAAACCCUUCAUGGGCGAAACUCUGAGUAGAACCCUCUCACCCACUAUAAAUGCCCCAUCACAAGCCUUCCUAUCAGCAUAACUCUUUUUCCUAGAUUGCAUUGUACAAAGCCGCUCCUGAAUCAAUUUCACCUUCUCCAAAGCAUUAUAAACCAAGUCAUUGUCUAAUAACCUAUCCUCCCAAGGCUCAAACCAACCAACCGGAUAACGACAUCGCCUUCCAUAUAAGGCCUCAUAUGGAGCCAUUUGGAUGCUCGACUUGUAGUUAUUGUUGUAGGUGAACUCUGUUAAUAGCAAAAGCUGAUCCUUAUGGCCCCCGAAAUCAAUGACACAAGCUCGCAACAUGUCCUCCAUGAUUUGAAUAGUACGCUCGGACUGUCCAUCCGUUUGUGGAUGAAAUGACAUACUCAGCUCAACCUAUGUGCCCAACUCAUACUGUAUGGCUUUCCAAAAAUAUGAUGUAAACUGAGUGCCUCGAUCCGAGAUAAUAGGCAAGGGCACACUAUGUAGGCAAACAAUCUCUCUAAGGUAAAUCUGAGCCAACUGCUCUAAAGUGUAGGUAGUCCUGACUGGAAUGAAGUGUUCAAACUUGGUCAGUCCGUCCAAAAUAACCUACAUAACAUCAAAUCUCCUUAAGGUCCAUGGAAGCCCAACCACAAAAUCUAGAGUGAUACGCUCUCACUUCCAUUCCGGAAUAUCUAGCCUCUGAAGCAAACCACCAGGUUUGAUGCUCACAGUUAACCUGUUGACCAUGCAACAUAAUCAACAAUGUCUUUCUUCAUUCUUCUCCACAGUAAUGCAGCUUCAAAUCAUGGUACAUCUUCGCGACACCGGAUGAAUGGAAUACCAUGAACUAUGGGCCUCCUCAAGAAUCAGCUCGUGUAACCCAUUCACAUUCGGCACACAAAUCCGGCCCUGAAGAAUCAACACCCUAUCAUCACCAAUAGUCACCUCCUCAGUAUCAUCGUGCUGCACCGGGUCUCUAAGGACAAGCAAGUGGGGAUCAUCAUAUUGACACGCCUUGUUACGCUCAAAUAAGGAUGAAUGUGAUACCACAGAAGCAAGAACCCUGCUAGUCUCUGAAAUAUCCAGCCUCACGAACCUGUUGGACAAAGCCUGAACAUCCUAAGCUAAUGGUCUCUCCCCAGCUGGAAUAAAAUCAAGGCUCCCCAUACUCUAUGCCUUCCUACUCAAGGUGUCGGCCACCAUAUUGGCCUUCCCGGGAUGAUAAACAAUGGUGAUAUCAUAGUCUUUCGGUAGCUCUAACCACCUCCAUUACCUCAAGUUCAAAUCCUUUUGCUUGAACAGGUGUUGAAGACUCUGGUGAUCCGUACACUUCACAAGACACUCUGUAAAGAUAAUGCCUCCAAAUCUUGAGUGCGUGAACAAUGGCUGCUAACUCCAAAUCAUGCACUUGGUAGUUUUUCUCAUUGGACUUCCACUGACGCGAAGUAUAAGUAAUCACCUUAUCGUCCUGCAUCAAUACACACCCAAUGACAACCCGUGAAACAUCAUAGUAGGUUGUAUAUGAACCCAAUACCGAAGGAAAAACCAAAACUAUAGCUGUAGUCAAGGCAAAAUUGAGCUUCUAAAAGCUCCUCACACUUGUCAGGUCACCUGAAUAGGGCGCCAUUCUAAGUCAACUUAGUGAAAGGGGCUGCUAUAGAUGAAAACCCUCCAUAAAGCAUUGAUAAUACCCAGCCAACCCAAGGAAACUCUAGAUCUCAGUAGCGGUAGAAGAUCUGAGCCAACUUUGAACUGCCUAAAUCUUCUUCGGAUCCACCUUAAUCCCUUCACUGUACACCACGUGACCCAAUAAUGUCACUGAGUCUAACCAAAACUUGCACUUGAAGAACUUAACAUAUAUCUUCUUCUCCCUCAAUGUCUAGAGCACAAUCCUCAAGUGUUUCUCAUGCUCCUCCCGGCUGCGAGAAUUCACUAAUAUAUCACUAGUAAGCACAAUGAUGAAGGAAUCCAGAUAAGGCUGAAACACGUCGUUCAUAAAGUGCAUUAAAGUUGUUGGGCAUUGGUCAACCUAAAAUACAUCACCAAGAACUCAUAAUGGCCAUAACGGGUCCUGAAAGCCGCCUUAGGAAUAUCUGAAGCCCUGAUCUUCAACUGAUGGUACCUCGAUAUCAAGUCAAUCUUCAAAAAUACCCUAGCAUCUUGAAGCUGAUCAAAUAAAUCAUCACUACACGGUAGUGGAUACCUUUUCUUGAUAGUAUCCUAGUUCAAUUGCAUGUAGUCAAUUCACAUUCUCAUGAAAACGUCUUUCUUCUUCGCAAAUAGAACUGGUGCACCCCAAGGUGAAAUACAGGUCUGAUGAAACCUUUAUCUAGCAAUUCCCGAAGCUAUUCCUUUAGUUCCUUCAACUCUGCUGGAGCCAUGCGGUACGGUGGAAUAGAUAUGGGCUGAGUGUCCGUCACUAAGUCAAUACCAAAAUAAAUAACCCUAUCGGGUGGCAUGCCCGAUAGGUCCGCAGGGAACACAUCAGAAAAUUCCCACACCACUAGGAUAGAAUCAACCGUGGGAGUAUCAGCACCCACAUCUCUAAUGAAGGUCAAGUACACCAAGAACCCUUUCUCAACCAUCCAUUAAGCCUUUAGAAAAUAUAACAUUCUUGAAGGAACAUGACCCAAGGAAACCCUCCAUUCUAACCUCGGCAACCCCGACAUAGUCAACGUCACGGUCAUAGUGUGACAAUCAACAAUAGCGUGAUAUGGAGAUAACUAAUUCAUACCCAAGAUCACAUCAGAAUCCACCAUAUUAAGUAAUAGAAGGUAAACCCUAGUCUUGUAACCCCAAUAAUGACCAAACAAGAGUGAUAGACAUACCACAAUUGAAUAUUCCAAUGGGUGUAGACACAUAAACAUAUGUAUCCAAAGAAUCGCGAGACAUAUACAAAUAUGAAGCAAAAUAGGAUGACACGUAUGAAUAAGUAGAAGCUGGAUCAAAUAAAACAAAUGCAUCUAUAUGACAGAUUAGAACAAUACCUGUAAUGACAACAUCUGAUGCAACGAACUCAGCCCUACUAGGGAAAGCAUAACAACGGGCCUGGCCUUCCCCUGUAGGACGCCCUUUACUCGCAUGUCCUCCACCUCUAGCUGGUUGUGCAGGUGUAGUAGCAAUUGGAGCGGGAACCAUAGCCCGAGUACCCUGCUGAGGUCCACCCUUCUGAAGUCUAGGACAAUCUCUCAUGAUGUUCUUAGUAUCACUACACUCAAAACAACCCCUCGGCGGGCGUGACUGCUAGUACUGAUUCUUCUCCAAACUACUGGAGUAACCAUUGUAGGAACCCCGUGCAGAAUGUGCACUGAAAGAUGGUUGUCUGGUAUGAGUACCCUAGGGACCCUAGCUAACUGGAGCACUAUGAGUAACCUGAAGUGCGAACUGAACUGGUCGACUGAUAUAACCUCUGCCAUGACAAAACUUUCCCUCAGAGUAGGAGCCACCAAAUCCUCCAAAAUCAUGAGGCUUCUUGGCCUCCCUAUCCUCACUCUCUUGCCUAGUCUCAUACCUCCUUAUAGUGACCAAACAAGAACGAUAAACCUGAUUCACCACAAUUGAAUCCCAACAGACGUAGACGCAUAAACGAAAGUACUCAAAGAAUCACGAGACAUAUCCAAAUAUGAAGUAAAAUAGGAUGACAUAUAUGAAUAAGUAUAUCCUAGAUCAAAUAAAAUGGAUGUAUCUCUAUAGAAAACUGGAACAAUACCUGUGAUGACCGCAUCAGAUGACUCCGCCUCAAGUCUAGCCGGGAAUGCAUAGCAACGAGGCUGAGCCCCACUAAUCUGAAUUCCACAUAUUGGACGGCCUCUCACUAACUGGCCUCCACCUCUAGCUGUCUGACCUCCUCCUCUGGCUGCUUGACCCUCGCCUCUAGCUGGUUCAGCAGGCGGUGAAUUAACCGGUGCCGGAAUUAUGGCACGAGUACCCUAUUGUGGUAUACUUCUCUGAAGCCUAGGACAGUACCUCAUGAUGUGACCCAUACCUCCACACUUAAAGCACUCUCUCUGCUAACGUGGCUACUGAAUUUGGGACUGACCCUGAUGGUCUUAGUAAUCACUAUGGUACUUUUGAAUUGGCGAUGAACUAAUGGGAGUUGAAUGUGCACUGAAUGCUAGCUGCUCAAGACAAGACCUAUAAGAACCACGACUACCCGAAUCACCAUGUGAUACCUAAAGCACUAACUAAACCAGCUUGAUAGGAUAGCCUCUACUAAAUGAACCCUUGCCUCCAGAUGAGGUACCAUGAAACCACCGAAAUGACGAGGCCUCUUCUCAUAUGCCGUCUCCCUACCCUGGCAACAAAUCCUCUAGAUUCGCCUAGCGAUCUCCACAACUUGAGUGAAACAUAUAUAAUCCUCGGUCUCUAUAGACAUCUGAAGCAUGAUGUCUUAAGUAAGGCCAUUUAUAGACCUCUGCACCAUCUCUCUCUCUAUAGGGAGCAAGAUAACUAUAUGGCGGGAUAAAUCCAUGAAUCUGGUUUUGUUCUGAGUAACGGUCAUGCUACCCUACUGGAGGCGCUCAAACUUAUUACGAAAAGUCCUCUCUCUAGGUGAAGGGGAUGAACUUCUCCAAGAAUAGCUAUGAGAAUUGAGCACAAGUGAGUGGAGUUGAACCUGUUAGUUUUCCCCGGGCAUGCUCCUGCCACCACUACUUGGCAAAGCCAUGCAUAUGAAACACUGCGAAGUCAAAUCCGUUGGACUCCACUAUACCCAUGUUGCGCAAUACCUCAUGGAAAUGGUCCAAUAAAUCCUUAGGGUAUUCAGAAGGUGUACCUCGGCUAACAUUUAGCACGCUGAACUGAUCCAACUGGUGGAACUGCUAGAGUCUGAUAUCCUUGAGCCACCUGCUAUGGAGUGUGAGUAGCGGGAUUCUGGUCUCCUCCCCCAGCCUGAGAGAUGGCUGGUGCCAUAGGGAACUCAUCGGCCUAGGCCACACUCUCCGUAAGGCCAACCAGGCGGACUAGGGCAUCCUAAAGUAGGGGUAGCAAUGAACACCUUUGGUACCUGAGCUGGUCCUACUGCAUAGUCUGAACAAGGAUAUCCUCAUCCUACUCGUUCUGAGGCUCAACAAUAUGUGUUGUUUCGCAUACUCUAGACUGAGCUCUGGCUCUGGCUCUCCAUCGGCCCGUCCCUAACCCCUACCCCUGGCAGUGGCUGCAACCUGGGGCUUCGACUCCUGAUCAAUUGUACAUGUCGUGCGUGUCCUCACCAUAUGCGAUAGAUUAAAAGAAGAAUGAUAUAAACUACAGCGAUAGAAUGAAGUCGCACGAUAGAGAAAGAAAGAAAAUGAAAUUUUCUAAAGCCUUAUAGCUCUAGAAGAUGAGUACAUACAUCUCCUUACCGAUCCUCAAGACUCUACUAAGCUUGCUCGUGACUUGUGAGACCUAGGAAACCUAGUGCUCUAAUACCAACUUGUCAUGAUCCAAAAUCCCAACUACGGGGCCGUGAUGGCGCAUGACAUUCGCUUGCUACGCAAGCCAACCCUAGUCAAACACUUAUCCAGUCUUAGUAAAUUAAAAGCAUACGAUUAAGAAUCUAACUAUGAAAUAUUGGUAAUAUGAUAAAUUAAAACCAAAAAAGUGUUACAUACAAGGUCCAAAAUGAAAUACAACAGUCCGAAUUAAAUAAAUAGUAUAAUUGAUAAGAAGGGCACUUCAGGGUUUACGAACGUCAUGUAGCUCUACCUCAGAUCUCUGGGUAAAUAACAGUCAGAGCAAGCCUCCACUAAAUGCUGUUGUGACCAACACCAUAAUUUGCACAAGAAGUGCAGAAAUGUAGUAUGGUACAACCGACCCCAUGUACUCCGUAAGUGUCGAGCCUAACCUCGAUAAAAUAGUGAGAAGGCUAUAACAACGCAUUCACUAUAAACAUAUCAAGUAUAAGUAAAAAUAAUAGCAGAAUAGAGAAACAAUGAUUAACAUAAGAAUUGGAAAACUAAUACAUAAUAGAGGGCUCCAAACUAGCAUCCAUGCUCAAAUUCACAAUNNNNNNNNNNNNNNNNNNNNNNNNNGGAAUUAAACGAAUAAAGAUAUAAGACAAAUAAAAGUGGCUAUCUAACAACAUACAAGACACAAGGCAAGUAAAGGCAGACAAUAAAUGAAGAUACGGAUACAUGGAAAUAUAUUGCAAAUUAAGGUAUGUAAUGAAUGAAAGCAUGAAUUUAAAAAGUAAAGACAAGUUAACAAUUAAUGCUCUAAACGAGUAAUAACAUGGAAUAAAGAAAGCAUGGUAUAAAUGAAAACACGCAAUUAAGAAGCCCGCCCUGCAUGCUUAUCUUAUGACAACGCAUAUGCACUCCUCACCUUGCAUAUACGCUGUCCCCACACAUAAAUCACAUAGAAAAUAGACCAAUCAAGUCAUAAUUCCAUCAAAUCAAAGUUAACCUAGACACUCCUCUUUUCGAAAUCAAAUCAACAAUCAACCACGACUUUUCCCUUAGAACAAGCCUCCAAGCAAACCUAAUCUAGUCAAAUAUAGUUCAAACAAUGCAAUACAAGAUUUAGAAACUACCCAUGAAUGAAAAGGGUUUAAUAUUUAACUAAAUUAAAAAUGUCUAUUAAAGUCAACCCCGGGCUCGCUUGGUCGAAAUCCCAUAUUCGGACCAAUCAGUGUCUUAGCCUUAUAGUAGUCGGAAAUGUGACAUUAUGUUUGCAUUUGCGAAGGAACACCCACUCGCAAAUGCGAUCCAAGCUUCGCAAAUGCGAAGCUUCUCUACAUAACACAGUUUUGAUAAUGCGACACAAGAGUUGCAAAAGUGAUCACAACAUUUUUUGCAAAAGCGAACCUUUCUUCGCAAUUGUGAAGACCCAUCCCCCAGCCCAUGUUCGCAUGUGUGAACUUGACAUUGCAAAUGUGAGGCUCGGAAUUGUGAUCAAGUUCUCGCAAAUAUGAGACCUGCAACUUUGCACCAGAAAAUACUAAGCAUCAGUUGUUCCAAACUCAACCAUAACAUAUCUGAAACUCACACGAGCUCCUCGGGCUCCAAUCUGAACAUGUACAAAAGUGUAAUAACAUCAUACAAACUCGCUCGCUAUCAUAAAUUAGCAAAAUAACAUCUAGAAUCAUGAAUAAAUCAUUACAAAUAAAGAAUUUCAAUAUUAAAAGAAAAAUUCUAAUCUUCCACAUACUGCACCGAAACACGCUCGGGUAACCCGAGACCUCAACCAAACGUGCGUACAAGUCAAAACAUAUCAUGCAAACCUACUAGAAUCAUCAAAACAUUGAUCUUAGGUUGUUUACUAAGAGCGUUGAAUGUGGUCAACCCAAACCUUAAUUUAAUCCAAAAAUCACAUUUUCUUCAAAAUUUCACAUUAAAAUUUUCGAAAAAUAACACGGACCACACAUGUAUGUAAUAUAACAUCAAAUGAAUCUAUGAGAGAUCUCGAAACAUAAAAAUAAAGGCUAGUUCUCAAAACCACCUAUUGGGUUGUCACACGAAUACACUCCAACCUUCUAGCAAUCUCCACAACCUGAUGGAAUGAAGUCUCAGUCUCCAACUCCCAUGCCAUCCCAAAUCUGAGGCUGUAGGCGAGCCCCUCAAUAAAUCUACGGAUUCUCUCUCUAUCAGUGAAAACCAAGGCAGAUGCAUGACGAGAUAACUCUGUAAAACGCAUGGCAUACACUGACACAAUCAUAUUCCCCUGGCCUAACUUCUCGAACUCACUGCGUAACUCAUCCCUAUCGGUCUGUAGAAUAAACUCUCUCAAAAAAAGAUCAGAGAAUCGGACCAUGUAAGUGGUGUUGCGCCAACUGGUCUACUCGCCUCAUAAGUCUGCCACAAUUUGUAUGUCGGUCCCGUCAACCGGAUAAGUAGUAAGGUUGACCCCGCUCGACUCCACCAAACACAUUGUACGCAGCAUACGGUGACAUUGAUCAAAGAAACCAUGUGCAUCCUUAGAACCCCCGCCACUGAAAUGAGGAGGAUUAUACUUCUGGAACCUCUUUUUCUCCUGAACUGACACAGCUGGCCCGACCUCGGGCUGAACCACAAUCACGGGCUGCACCAGUAUAAUACCUGGAGCCUGAUUAACAUGAGCUGCUCUAGAGUAUGUGUUGCAGGACUCUGGACUCCUCCCCCAACCAGGGAAGUAGUUGGUGCAACCAAAAUCAACCUUGCCUGAGCCAAAGUCCCAAACAUACUCAGAAAGUGUACCAAGGUCUCUUGAAGUCCAAGGGUAGCAACAGGUCCAUCAGGCGCCUUCUCCCCUACCGGCGCUACUGGUGCCGCCUCAGUUGCGGACCUAGCAUGGCCCCUCUCUACGAUGCAUGCUCUGCAUCUACCUCUACCCCGACCUCUAGCAACACUAGCCUUGGGAGAAGUAUCAUCAGUAACUAAACCUCGUGUUCUCACCAUCUAUGAGAGAGUAGAAAGACAAAGGCCCAAAUUCCAAAAUCAAUAAAUCCACACAAUAAGGAAUGAGAGAAGUGAAAUUUUCUUUAUAGUUCCGUAGCCUCUAAAAGAUAAGUACGGACGUCUCCGUACCGAUCCGCAAAAACCUACUAAAAUUGCUCAUGACUCGUAGAACCCAUGAGCCUAUAGCUCGGAUACCAAAUCAGGAUAUAAUAAGACAAGAAUUAAUUUUAAAGCGGAACAUGGAGUUAUUAGAAUUCAAAGGCAAUACUCAAACAUCUCCCUAGAACUAGGUAGUGCAGAGUAAUGAGCUCUAACUGAACCUAUAAGAAAUAUCCAAAAAGAUAAUAUAUUGUUUGAAAGCAAAACUAACACUAUCUAUAUAAGGGAUGAGACUCCAACGGACUGCGACAAAAUGCAAUGCUUCUGUCACGACCCAAAAUCUGACUAGUCGUGAUGACACCUAACCCAACCCAUUAGGUAAGCCAAAUAACAGUAAACACAAUUUAAUAAUAAAAUUAAGAUUCAAAAGUGAAAUAACUAAAUCUUUAUACAACUCUCCCAGGACUGGUAGUACAAGUCAUGAGCCACAAGGACUUAAAUUUACAAACUGAAAUGAAAAAUGAGACAACAUCUGUUUGAAAUGUACAUGAACAAAAUCUCAAAUCUAGAACUACCAAGAACUAAUGGUAGCGAAAUAUGGAAUGCGGGUACAUCUUCAAUGCCAGCUCCCGUCAUUCACAUCAAUAUCGACUCCAAGAUUUGCACACAAGGUGCAGAAGUGUAGUAUGAGUACAACUGAUCCCAUGUACUUAAUAAGUAUUCUAACUAACCCGAGUGAGGUAAUAGAAGCAAGAAUCAUAAAUGAUGCUCGUUAUCACCUGUAUAGUUCAUAAUUUCAACAAGUAUAGAACAUAUAUAUGACAAAAUCAGGAAAUCUCAGGUAAAACCACCUUGGUGCUCACGAUUCUUUAUUUUAAAGUGUUCUGCUCUACAACCCAUCCUUUAAGGAAGAUAUGCGAGUAAAUCAGGUAAACAGUCAAGAAAAUUGAAAGUAAAGAUGAAAUGCAAUAACCGCAUAAUAGUAUGUUGCGGCGCGCAACCCGAUCCAAAUAAUAGUAACCAUCUCUCCCAGAGCUCACAUCAACUAGAAACCCGUCGGUUUCUCACAAUCCACGUAUACACCAUCAAUAGAGAAAUAUGAGAUGGUGACUCUAGGGGAUGGAUCUGUAUCCACACGCUGCACGGACAACUCAUGUGCUAAUAAUAUCAAUCGCACGGACAACUCACAUGCUGCAUGGAUGACUCACACGCUAAUAAUAUCAAUCCGCAUGGACAACUCAUGUGUUGAUGUCACAAUCCGCCUGGCGUGGUCACAGACACAGUAUCAUAAUUCGCCCGAUAUGGUCACAGGCAUAAUAAUAGAAUCCAUCUGACAUGGUCACAUGCGUAACAUCACAAUCCGUCCGGCGUGGUCACAGACAUAACAAUACAAUCCACAUGGCAUGGUCACAGGCAUCCAGUCCAAAUCUUAUCAUACAGAAGCACAUAUACAAGAACACAUGUAUAUGAUGAAUGAAUAUCAGAUUUCAUGCUCCUUGUCACGUCCUAAAAUACCCCCUAGACGCGAUUGGCAUCCAACUAACACUACCUGCUAAGCGAACCAGCUUAUACCAUACACUUAGCAUUUAUUCAAAACUCAACCUCUUAUAAAUGCAAGUUCUUAACAUUUCAAUAAUUAAAUGUGAUUGAUGAAUAAUCCAAAUUGUUCCAUAAAUAUUUAUUUAGCCCAAAUACCACACUAGACUAUGGAGCAUCUAAGAGAAUUACAAAAGACUCAAGAUCGAGUGUGUAAACCCCAAAAUAAAAGACAUUAUAAAAUAAAUAAUAAAGACUCUUUUGGCAGCUUCCACGAACAAUGCGGUGGCACACCUUAAUAAUUAGAUCAACUCUAACGAACUCGACAGCUACUAGCUUCGUCUCCACGAAUAGUAUAUGCAUCGACAUGCAGGUAAGGAGUGAGUUAUAUUUGAAAUAGUAAUAUCCUUAACCCAUCACUUUAAAUACCCCUAGAACAAGUGUUAGAAAAUAAAAACACACCAAAGCAAAUAUGACAUAUAAUACAUACUAUAACUAUACAACAAUGCAAUAAUAUGUAUCAAUAGAGUUAACAAGGAUUAACAAAUAUGAAUACACAUAUCUCAACACAAUACACACAAAGGACUUGUAAUAAACGGAAGUGAAGCAAAUUAACUAACACCCCGACAAGUCCACGACGGCACCACAAUGCCUCAAAUAUAUGACAGAGCAUACACAAUGCCCACUGAAGCAUAUAAAAUGCCUCAAUAAUAUUAAGAAGCAAACACAAUGCUCGCGUGAUGUACAAAAGCAUACACAAUGCUCCAACAUAAUGGCUCGCAGCUGUAUCAAAUCAUCAAACCCAAUAUCAUGGCUCACAGUCGUAUCAAACUAUCAAACCCAACAUCAUGGUUCACAUCUGUAUCACACCAUCAAACCCAACGUCAUGGCUCACAGCCGUAUCACGCCAUUAAAAAACUUAUAAAAUAAUUUUUAGUGCUUUUCAUAAAAAUAUAUAUUUGUGACUAGUCCAAGACUAUCGAUUCUACUAAGCACACGCUUGUCCCAACACAUGAACCAGGCAGACAAAACACAUUUUCACAACGGAUUUUGGAAAAUUAAGCAUUAAAGCUUAAAGUCCCACUUACCUCGCAAAUGGAAAGUCCUCUAACCUUGCGACGUUAAAAAAAAAAACAACCAAACUGCCUCCAAAGACCUUAAUCUAUAAAAAUAUUGACUAACGAAGUCAAUUAUGCUAGUCGAGGUUAUUUCAUAAUUUUUGGAAUGUCAAAUAAAAGGCAACUAAAAAGUCAACUUCAUGUUAAUAUGGUCAAAUCACGACGUGUUCGAGUUACCCAUAAGUUGAAGAAUCCAAAUCUAUUUUCAAGUUUCAAUUUUUAUGUAAAUUGAUGGGUCAACUCUCAAUUCUGUUAUACUUUAAGCUUAGACCUAAGUUUCAAUAUUCUGUACCUCAAUCCAUGAGUUUAAAAGUAAUUUCACAUAUUUCAAUAUCACAAAUUACACCCAAUAUCCAAUAAACAAUUCAUGUUUAACAGUAUUCAUGUUUUAAAGUAAUAAUUACAACAUAAAAAGUACUCAAAUACCUUGUGACUUGCCGACUGCACAACUGAAAUAGAAGUUUCUUUAGUUCCUUUCAUUGAUCACUGACGCCACAUUGAUUGAUCCUUAUUACCCCAAAAUUCUACUUAGUUGAUGAUAAUACCAAGUGUUAUACAAGUAGCAGCUAUGGUCUUUCCUAAAUUUCAGUUUAGCCGUCUAAUGAUUUUCGAUAAUUUUCUGUUUGUGUGAUUUUAGUUUUUUAGGAACCAAGACCUUAUUUACCCAACAAGAAUAACAUUGAUUCUGCCCAAUUCUUCAUCCUUAUAUAUUAGAAGAAUUAAUCCAAAUAGUCGACCACCCUACAACUUAAACUAAAAAUAGCCAGCGAAUGUAUAUUAGAUGCAUAAUUUAUAUAUUAAAUGUGUAUAAUUAUGUAUAAUCAAUGUAUAAUUUAUGUAUAAGGUUUAAAAAAGUAAACAAUUAAUUUGGACGGCUAUUUGUGUAAAAAAUCCCUAUAUAUUAUCCAGAUUUAUUUUAUUGCCCAGCUAAUACGUACACAUGUAAAUAGGUCCAAAAAUCACUUAUAUAACUCACAUCACAUAAUUUAUAUUCCUCAAUAUACAAAUAAUAUUAUUUCUACAUGUAAAUACAUAUCUAGGCACAUACAUGUAAAUAAUAAUUAUAAUUAUCUCUAUAAGAAUUUCUAAUAACAUUAUUAGAAUAACUCUAAUAACCAUAAUACUAUUUGCAUGAAUUCCACUAUCUCAACAACUUCAUAGGAUUAAAUCAAGCGACGAAAACAUCAUAGUUAGAGGUGCACCUCUCAAAUAGAUGCUGGUAGCUACUAUGCUUGCCUACCUCAGACUUGAGUGUAUCUUCUCUCAUCGGAUGGUUGCCACAAUGUAAUACCUCAUAAUUUAAAGGACACAAUAGUCAUUUAGCCAAAAUAAUUGAACCAAAAAAAAAAAA